GGUAAAGAGAGGUGACAAAAAAAAAUAAUAAAAGAAGCAAGAAAAAAAAAAUAAAGAUAAAAAUUUAUAGAAAAAAAAAAGAAUAAAGAUAAAAUUCCAUCGUUAACUGCAAAAAAAAUUAUAAGUUGCAUUACUUAAAAUGUAAAGUGCAGCUUUAAAAUGAAAAUUACACUCUUUAAACGAAAAUUACACUCUUUGGGAGAUAUUUACACUAUUUUUUCUCUUAUUGUACUCUUUCAGAUGUAAACUGCAUCCAUUAAGAUGAAAGUUACACUCUUUAAACGAAAGUUGCACUGUUUCUCCUCUUGUUGCACCAUUUCUCCUCUUGUUACACUAUUUUUUAUCUUAAACUGCACCCCUUUAAGAGAUAUUUAUACUGUUUCUCCUCUUGUUGCACUGUUUCUCCUCUUGUUGCACUGUUUCUGUGUAAACAAGAGGAGAAAUAGUGCAACAAGAGGAGAAACUGCACUGUUUUAAGAGAUAUAUCUACUGUUUCUUCUCUUGUUGCACUGUUUCUCCUCUUGUUGCACCAUUUCUGUGUAAACAAUAGGAGAAAUAGUGCAACAAGAGGAGAAACAAUGCAAUAAGAGGAGAAACUGCACCCUUUUAAGAGAUAUUUAUACUGUUUCUCCUCUUGUUGCACUAUUUCUGUGUAAAUAAGAGGAGAAAUAGUGCAACAAGAGGAGAAACAGUGCAAGAAGAGAAGAAACUGCACUGUUUUAAGAGAUAUAUAUACUGUUUCUCCUCUUGUUGCACCAUUUCUGUGUAAACAAGAGGAGAAAUAGUGCAACAAGAGGAGAAACUGCACUGUUUUAAGAGAUAUAUCUACUGUUUCUUCUCUUGUUGCACUGUUUCUCCUCUUAUUGCACCAUUUCUCCUCUUAGUGCAGUUUAAGAUAAAAAAUAGUGUAACAAAAGGAGAAAUAGUGCAACAAGAGGAGAAACUGCACUGUUUUAAGAGAUAUAUCUACUGUUUCUUCUCUUGUUGCACUGUUUCUUCUCUUAUUGCACCAUUUCUACUCCUGUUACACUAUUUUUUAUCUUAAACUGCACCCAUUUAAGAGAUAUUUAUACUGUUUCUCCUCUUGUUGCACUGUUUCUCCUCUUGUUGCACCAUUUCUCCUCUUGUUACACUAUUUUUUAUCUUAAACUGCAUCCCUUUAAGAGAUAUUUAUACUAUUUCUUCUCUUAUUGCACCAUUUCUACUCCUGUUACACUAUUUUUUAUCUUAAACUGCACCCAUAUAAGAGAUAUUUAUACUGUUUCUCCUCUUGUUGCACUGUUUUUUCUCUUGUUGCACAAGAGGAGAAAUAAUGCAACAAGAGAAAAAACAGUGCAACAAGAGGAGAAAUAGUAUAAAUAUCUCUUAAAUGGGUACAGUUUAAGAUAAAAAAUAGUAUAACAGAAGAAAAAAUGGUGUAACAAGAGGAGAAACAGUGCAACAAGAGAAGAAACAAUAUAAAUAUCUCUUAAAGGGGUGCAGUUUAAGAUAAAAAAUAGUGUAACAAAAGAAAAAAUGGUGCAACAAGAGGAGAAACAGUGCAACUUUCGUUUAAAGAGUGUAACUUUCAUCUUAAUGGAUGCAGUUUACAUCUGAAAGAGUGCAAUAAGAAGAGAAACAGUGUAAAUAUCUCUCAAAGAGUGUAAUUUUCGUUUAAAAAGUGUAAUUUUCAUCUUAAAGCUGCAGUUUACAUCUUAAAUAGUGCAACUUAUAAUUUUUUUUGCAAUUAACGAUGCAAUUUCAUCUUCAUCCUUCUUUUUAUAUAAUUUUUUAUCUUUAUUUUUUUAUUUUUUCUAUAAUUUUUUUUGUCACCCUCUCUGCCAAAGCCACAGCGCCGGCGACGACACCUCUAAGGAACCCCCGCUCCGAGGCUGCAGCGCCGCAGUGACCUUCACGGUGUCGGCGUCGGCGCCGGCGAAAAUGCAUCGUCGUCGGAGGCGACAGAGAAGGAGGGAGAGGGAGAGGCGAGAAGGGCGGGGAAGAGCGAGAGAGGCGUCGUCGUCGGAGAAGGUGGAGGAGAGUUGGGGAAGAAAAGAAAAGAAAAAAAUAAAAAAAAAAGUCACGGCGCGGCCUUGGCGGGGUCGGAGGCGAGGAAUGUGGGGGGUGCGUGGGCGAGGGCGAGGGCGAGGGCGAGAGCAUGAGGGUGAGAGGCGAGGCGGUCCGCCUCCGCCUCCGCCUCUACCUUCGUUAUUUUUUUUUGGCGAGAAAAAAUAAAGAACGAGAGAAACGAAGAUGAGAGAGAAAGAGGAAAGAGAAAAAGUAAUAAAGGUAUUUUAGUCAGUUUGCUGAAAAAACGGAUCGAAUCUACAAAAACGAAAAAGGUGGUCCAGUGGAUUUUUUAUGCAAAUUGGCCUAAUAUAUUUAAAUUAAUAUGUAUAUAAUUAUAUAUAAUAAUAUAUAUUAUAUAUUAUAUAUAUAUUAAUGAAGAGGUCCGUGACUCUCUCGUGUCUUCAGGGUGUCCACGAGAUGAAGAUGAUUCGUGAGACCGCGUGCGCAUAACGCCCUAUGAGCCCGCGCUUUUUUUGAGCAGCUUUUCGUUUUCGCGGGACGCCGGACGGAAUCAGUAAAAUUGAUUUUUUUCCAUUAGAAUCUGUAAAACAAAUUUUGGCAAAAAAUUUUACAUGCCAACCAAAACUGAGGAAAAAAUUUUGGUGGAAAAAUAAACAAUUUUCGGAGCAUGUUUUACAGGCGCAACAAAUACCUCCUUAGUAUUCAGUUCGUUAUUUUUGGCGAAAUAAUCAUCCUUGAAUAUUUAUAUAUAUAUAUAUAUAUAUAUAUAUAUAUAUACUUAUAUAUAUAUUUAUAUAGUAGAUUAGGCUGGAAUACUAUUAAUAGUAAAACACUCUUUUUGUAUCAAGUUUUUCACCCUUUGAUAAAAAAUUGUAGGUCAGGAUAUAUUGUUCAGUUAGAGUGGUCCCCUAGGUUUGAAGAUGUGUCGGCCACGUGGGUUUUAUUAGUUAUUUAAUCAAUGGUCUUAGAAAAUAAUGAAAGAGUGAUCCAGCAAGCGCUUAAAAACUGGUAGCAACAAUGAGAUUUUGCUACUAAUAGUCGUCCAUAUAUAUAAUAUAUAUUAUAUAUAAUAUAUAUCAUAUAUAUUAUAAUAUAUAUAUAGAGUCGAGCGCUAUGCUAUCGCGACGGCACAGAGCUCCGUGAUUCCAACUCUUUUGAGUUUGCGACAUUUCGAUCGUCGAUCCCGGCUCGCGUUAAACUUGAUCUAGAGUAUUUGAAUACUAGUAAAUAAGGUUUUAUGAUUUUACGCAUAUCAUGUGCUAGGUGACGAAGGGCUCAAAGAUCAACAGGCUGAAAUAAAAUCUUACAAAAUGUAUAAUAGGACAUUAAAAUUUAAAUCAAGAUAUUGAUCUUGUUUUAUAUAGUAUAAAAGAAUUUUCUAUCAAUUUCACAGUUGAUUUUGGAUAUUUUCUACCCGUUAAACUUGCAAACAGCUACUUCGACUCAUUGAAUUUUGUUGAUUUGAGCCAUUUCGAUCACUAGCACAGUGAUAUCGAAAAGAAUAAAUUUAUUUUCUAAGGUACUUAAAUCACUUAGAUCUAAAUUUAACGCGAGCCCAAUCAAUGAUUCGAAGUCGCACAUCGAAAACGCGCUGGAAAGCACGGGAAGGCUCCGUGCUUCGAUGCAGAGUAGCCUCACUAUAUCUAUAUAUAUAUAUUUAUAUUCAUUAUAUAUAUAUAUAAUAUAUAAUCCUUAUAUAUAUAUAGAGUCCAGCUAUGGUGCUUCGUAAAGUACCAAGCAUUUAGAGUGCUUGUAAGUUUUUUACCGGUUAGUAUCUACUCUGAAUCAUUUUCAAGCCAUCGUCGAAUUAUAUUAUUCACCAAUCCCACCACUUAACCCUAGAGGGGCCCAAUCAUCCUAACUGCAAUCUCUUAAUCCGAUGGCUAAAAAUCUACAAGCACAAUAUACUUGAUACUUUUAAAAGCAUUAGGAGUCAUUUCUCACCCCUUCUCUCUCUCUCUCUCUCUCUCUCUCUCUCUAUAUAUAUAUAUAUAUAUAUUUAUGUAUUGUUUAAAUUAUAGAAAAUUCUUUAUCAAUAUUUGAUUUUUUAUUUUUUUUUUCUUCUGUUUUUCAAAAAUUUAUAUUUUGCCCCUUAAAAGUUAAAAAUAUUCACUUCGGCCUCGCCUUUAGUGUUCCGUUAGAAUUUUAUUUAUAUAUAUAUACUAUUAUUAUAUAUAAUUUUUAUAUCCAAAAUAUUCUUGAAAUUUUCAUCUCCCUUCUCAUUUCUCAUCGACAUCGUCGGCCGCAUCGUCUCGCCCUCGCACACUCCUCUGUCCGUGCCCAUACAUACGCCCUCACCUAUCUUCGCCGCCUUAUCCCUGCCCUCGCCCACCUCUAUCCCCUUUCCCACCCCGAUCUCCUCCGUAUAGUCAUUGAAAUGGAGAGGCGGCUAAGGUGCUAGAGGAGCAGGGGAGCAGAUAGAGAAAAUGAUGUUGGAGCUAGGGUCGAGAAAGGCAUGAAGGACGAAGGAGGAGAGACUGACGAUGAGCAGGAUUAGAGAGGAAGAUGAAGCGAAUGAGGGGUAAUUUGAUUAUUUUCUCAUCAGAGAUAACACUGUACCUUAUAUGAAUUUUUUUUUAUUUUUAAGUGGGUAAAGUAUAGGUUUUUCAAUGACAUGGGAGAAAGUAGAAAAGCAGGUAUUAAUGGGAGGUUUUCUGUAAUUUAGCCUUACAUAUUUUAUAUAUUUUAUAUUUAUAUAUUUAAAUAAAUAAUUAUAUAUAAAAUAUAAAUUUUUAUUAUUUGAUUUUUAGCUAAACAGAAAUAUAAAGCCCAACUUAAUUCUAAAAAAAAUCAUUUACAUAUAAAGUUCCAACCAUUAGAUCAAAGUCUAAUGGGUAAGAUCUAAUAAAUUUAUUUUUUUUAUAUAUUAUUUCUAAUUUUUUUAACUUGCUGUUUGUGAAUCAGCUCGUGUUCGACUUGUUUAUUCUCGUUUAAUGUCAUGCCUUGGAGUCCCUUUACAGCUUAUGGAUUAGCAGAAGUGUCCAAUUUUUUUUUUGAAAAGCCUUGACCAAUGGAUGACAGACCCGCCAUAAAUAUAAAGUAUGAACUGUCCCCGCGAACAGAAUUUUCUCUGUAUUUGUACGGCGUCGCACAUAGUACAAGUUACAACCACAUCUAUUUAUAGUACAUAUUUACAAAUACAUUCACCAUGACACAGCAUAGUAAUCAUAAACCAUCCAUACUUAUCGGUUGAAAAUGAUUCCCACUUGUAAACUUAUUUUGAAAUACUAGAAUCACGAAAAUUGUAAACCUUUUUUUUAAAAAAUCGUUUCCCAUACGAAAACCCUUUAUUUUCUUUGAAAACGAGCUAUCAUGAGAGGUAGAAAAUCAUUUUCAUAAAUCCCCACAAUAUUCAUAAAACAGCUUUAUUUAAUAUUCUAAAACAUGCCAUAAGUAAGGCAAAACCAAAAUAAAACCAAAUAAAGUUAAACUGAACCAUAUAAACUCUAAAUUAUUUAUUAAUGGAAAAAGGGGUGGAAUCUAGAAUUGAAUGCCAUCAGGUCGAAACCUUUAACACUUGCUAGAUACGCGCCUCACGUCUCGUCCCGACUCGGUCCGCCAAGGCCACAUGAAAUUGGGGGGAGGGGGGAGGGAGGGGGGGUGAGAAACCAAACAAGGGUCUUUCAGUGGGUACUGCAAGCCGACGAGGGCGAGUAUACUCACCGGUAACAAAAAAAUGUAACAAUGAAAGGUAAUACAGUAGCAAUGUCAAUAGGAAACAAGAUAUAUAGAUAUGCAACUACUGCUACUGUAAAUAAUAUGCGUCAAUCGGACGAUCAAUCCAAAAUACCCAAUCCAAAAUCCGCCGUGCCGGUCUAAGGAUCUCAGGUAAGUGCCACGCCACUUUAAAUAGCAUAUAAGCCUAGUAUAAGCUCCUAAACUUACGGGUCGGAAGUUCAACAACUUUUUCGAAAAAGAACACCGUUACGGUGGCCAAACCGCUGGUGUACGUGAAAUGCGUGCAAGUAGUGACGAUCGAUACAAAUAUGAUCAAUAGCCGUCGGCAAGUAGCCAACAAUCGACCCCUAAGGAUGUAGCGACCGAAUAGGUCAUAAACCAGAAUCUCAAAACCGACCGACUACGUCACAACUGAUGUCACAUCAUGCAUAGAUAUACUCAACAACCGCUCUACUCCUAGAUCAUGAUAAUCGAAUACAAAAACAACUGAGUAGAGCAUCAUGUAAUGAAGUCAUAUGGUGUUAGGCUCAACAAUCAUAGAUAAUACGAGGAACAUAAAGAAAGAGGGUGGAGGGAACGUCACCGAGCAUGCACCACUAGACUGACUGAAACGACCCAGCCCACUAGUAACAAUAACACGUUGGGCCUAACCAUCGGCCCAAAAUGCUUAAGCCCAGUUAUUACUAUUAAUGUCUAAGUCUCUUAGAUACCCAAUCACAUCCCCAUUCAUAUCCGAUGUGGGAUUAUUGGGGUGUGACAGACUUCCCCAGUUAAGACCCUUACGUUCUCGUCAGUCCAAUCACACACAUAGCCCAAGAUUACCAUGCGAUGUGAGAUGCGUCUUGCUAGUCUUGUCAUCCAGAUUCUGCCAUAGCCGGUUACCUUGUCAUACAGACUCCGGCAUAGCCGAUUACCUUGUCUUUCAGACCUUGGCUCAGCCGAGACUCGCCACAUAUUUCCGGCUAGUGAACUGGCUCUGAUACCAAAUGAAACGACCAAGCCCACUAGCAGCAAUAACACGUUGGGCCCAACCACUGGCCCAAAAUGCUUAAGUCCAGUUAUUAUUACUAGUGUCUAAGUCUCUUAUAUACCCAAUCGCAUCCCCAUUCAUAUCCGAUGUGGGAUUAUUGAGGUGUGACACCGACUUCGGAUCGAAAUACCCACCGAUAUCUUUGUCGUACGUGCUUGUCUCCAAACUGCGCAAUAUCAUCGCCCGAACCUACAAAAGGUUCGCAGGGUCAGAGUCCAACCCACUGACUCAAACACAAUGCACACAAUUUUCAAAAUUUUCCACGGAAUCAGUUUUCCAAAAAAAACCGAUUUUCGUAACUCAUCGAAAUCCCGAAAAAUUGCACCGGGACGCCACCGGGACUUACGAAGUGUCCCAAAACUCACUGACUCAUGUCACGAGUCAUCCACUACCUCAAAACAUAUCAUUUUGUAUGUCCUGACAGCAAACACCAAGGUCGCACGUUGAAACGAUUAUUGUCGGAUAAUCACUUCGAUCCGAGUUUUUGGAAGUGUCAAUUUCGACACCGGAACCCUUUGCUACUUACCCAUCGUCUUCGGACAUUCGAGAAGAUGUAGGUGACCAGCCAACAAGGUUCAGUGGCAGUAAUCAGAGUGUUUCAACAGCGUCGGACGAUAUCCGACCCAAAACCGAGUUUUGUCGGUGAAUUUCACCGAAAAACGCACCAAAACCGACAUUCGAUCUCUACGAAGGGCUUCUGACCUUGGACAAUCAGUCCAGAGGUCAUCUACCACAUAUACACACUAUCCACAGUAGCCAUGAAGCAACAAUUUGCAUAAAAGUCCUUACUAUUACAUACAAUCACAUUUAUACAUGCAAUUAGAGGGGUUUAAUGGCUCGUUACCACUAACCGAGGGUCUUCGAGAUCAGCCAAGAUACGGGCUGAUAGGUCUCGAUGAGGCGAAGGUCAUGCUUGCUGUCCAGAGCAUCGCGGGUCGUUGGGGGAUGUGUGGGAGUGAGCCAAACUUCAACAAACAAUGCACACAGGAGCGACUAGGCCGAACACGCUGAUCCGAGCCUUACCGACAGUAAAUAAGGUGAGCACUAUGAUCAGCACGGACUAGGGGUUAUCGUGCUCACCUCCGGAGGCGUCGGAACAGCCUCGGGUUGGCGGAACAGUGAAAACGACCCAAAACAGCCCUAAUUAGGCUUGUUGUGAGCAGAGAGGGCCAAGCUCGGCCGACGGCGGCUCGGUGGCAGGCACGCCGGUGGCAGGGGGGCGGCUGAUAGGGAGAGGUUGGCGCGCGCACUAGCCAGCGACGGGAUGUGGCAGCGACACAGGAACAAGCUGAGCCAACACAGCUUCACCUCAGGCUCAGCUUGCUUCUUCGGCCACGGCGAUGGCCAGAGUAGCCGGGAGAGGGGCGAGACCUUCCUUUGGAGCCGAGAGGAUGAGAGAGAAACGACGGCUGGCGGUGGGGAAGAUGGCGCAGUCCCGUGUAGCUGCACAAGCAGCUGCGGCGACGGCGAUUGGGGGCGGCUGCGGCCGGUAGGAGGAGGUUGCCGGAGGUCCGGGAUGUCAUCGGAGGAGAGCCCGAGGCAGAGGGAGCACCCUGCACAAGCCUCAGCCGAGAUAGAGAGCUACAAAGUGGUGGUGGAGAUAGAGAAGAAUGUGGAGGUGGUGCUGGCCGCGUUUGGCCGGUCGGAGCACCAUCGCCGACGGCCGGGAGGCACGCGGCCUACGCAGAGGAGGGAGGGAAUGUGGCUAGCUCAAGUUUGGAGGUGCCUGGAGCUAGGGUUAGGGUUUUCGUGGAGGAGAACCCUAAUUCCUACAUAUAUAAGGAUGCACUUUUGUGUAUAAGUCCUCCAAACCCUAAUAUUUCUUGGAGGAGGUCCCUCACAGCGUGUGUAAAAUGCACGUACGCACCUUUGUAUGCGAUUUCACGCGAUUCGAUACAUACAAUAUAGGGACUUUUGCAAAAACUUCGUUUCACCAAUUUCGACCCCUUCUCGGUAAUCGCAUGAUAUCAAGAGAUCUGUCCGUCGGAUUUGCGAACGGACUGCGCCAGCGCUUCCAUCACUGCCAAGCCAUCAAGAUAAGGAUUUUGUUUCGCCUGAAUUGGUUGCAGAUUCGCGACAAUUGAAUCCGUCCUAUCACCGAUUCACACAUACCCCCCCCUCCCGCCCCUCCCCUCCCCACACACCCACAAAACACAACACACACACACACACAUACAUAUAUAUAUAUAUAAUUCAAAUUUAAAUAAAUAUUCGAAUUCAAAUUUGAAUUUUUCUUGAUUAAAAGUCUCGGAUAUUACAUUUAAUAAAUGAGCCAAAUACGAUUUAAAAUUUUCUCCAUACUUUAACAAGCCAGCUCGUAUUUGGCUCGUUGACGGUCCUAAAUGAUACCAUAUUUUCGUUUUCCUCUACUGAUGCAUCACGCUUUAAGAUUAGUGGAGGCUUAGAUUUUUUUUGUUUCUUAAGAUUAGUGGAUUCUUAAACCUGAUAAAAAUAAUUUAUAACAAAAAAAAUUUCACGGAAAAGAAAUUUUAUGGUUUCUUAUGUUCGUUUCAACAAAAAAAUGAAAAUAAUUUUCCAAACAUGCUUAUUUUGUUUGUAGGAAAAAAUAAUAAAAUGAUUUAUGAUAUUUUGAUUGUAAUAGGUUCUAUGAUUAAUGAUUGAAAGUUUGAUAUUAUAGCAAUAAUAUAGUAACAAUAAAUAAAUUGAGUUUUAUAUUAUCAUAAUAUUGUGAGUAUAUAUAUUGAAAUUAGUAAAUAAUGUUUAUAAUAAUCUUACUACAAUCUUAAUUAUAUUUUAUUAUGUUGAUUAGAUUUCAAACAUGAUUAAAUUUAUAAAUAGAAUUUUGUGAUAAUUUUACGAAAAAUGAGUGUUCAUCUUAUCGUAGUCUUCAUAUACUAAGCAGAUUACUAAUUAAAUUAUAAAUAAAAAAUUAUUUAAGAAAUCUACGUAAUUAGAUGCAUAGUUAAUUGGAUGAUAAUUAGAUUUUAUUGCUAUUGUAACUUUAAUGUAAUAACUAAAAUGUAUAAGUAAAUAUUAGUAGAUGUGUGCCAAUAAUUAAUCAGAAGUAGAUUUCAUAAUCAACAAAUUUUAUAACUAAUUCAUUACCUUAUAUUAAUGUUAAGAUAAAUGAUAAUUAAAUUAAUGACCAAUGCAUUUUACUUGAGGGUUGAGGUGUUCGGCUUCGUUCUCCAAUUGGAAGUUUGUUAUAGAAUGUUAACCGUAUUUUGUUCAAUCGAAAGCUAAAGGUAGAAUUAAGGAAAAUAUUAAUUUGGUCAUAUUUAUUUUAUUCAAGUUCCAAAUUCUUGCCCCGUAGUUUUUCUUUUUGUUUUUUUGUAAUACAAGUUUUCUAUUUCCUUUCUAUUUCUCUAUUUAAUUCAUUUAUAGGUUACUUAUUUUCAGAAAUUUUAAUGUUAUUUUACUAACAUACUCAUUUUGACAAGUUUUAAUAUACUCCUACUGAGCAGGACUGUUGUGCUCUCAGGAGCACGGAGGCCUCUGUGCUUUCAGGAGCACGGAGGCCUCCGUGCUCCUGAGCUGUUUUCGACGAUGAAAUUUUCGAAUCGACGAUCGGUUCUAUUAGACUUGAUCUAGCGUAUUUAAAGUUUCUAGAAAAUAUUUUUUGCUAUUUUUCGAUAUCAUUUACCUAGCAAUCAAAAGGAUUCAAAAUCAAUAAUUUUUAAAGGUUGAUGUCUGCCGUUUUCCAAUUUAACGGUGUAUAAGUAUUCAAAUCAAAUGAAUUUUGAUACAAAAUUCUUUAUCCUAUCCACAACAAGAUCACUAUUUCUGAUCGAAAAUUUUAGUGCUAUAUCACCACUUUUUAUAGAAUUUGCUCCUGAGAGCACAACAGUCCUGCUCUACUUCUACCUAUUUUCAUAAAUUGUGAUAAUUUUUUAAUUAUUUAACUAGUAUAUAAUCUAACCAUAACCAAAACAUGAUAAGAAUAUUAACAAAAUUGCAAGUUGGAAGAAAAGCUAAAAGAAGAGAAAUUAUAUAUAUGAACUUGAACUAAUCAAUUCAAUCUUUAUUGAAGUUGAAAUAACUUUCAAUUGCAUAUGAAUUAAAGUAAGAAUGUGAUGAGGAAAAAUGAUGAAUUGAAAAAUAGUUGCAUUCAGAUCAGAACUAAACUUGUUCAAUUCAAUGGAAUUUGUUUUUUUUUUUGAGAAAAAGGUAGCACGCUAUCUGCUUCAUUCAUUUAGGGGAUGAAUUAGGCUUACAUAAUGGAGGCAGCCGGGGACUCCGACGGGAGAAAGAGCGUCAAAAGCUAGAAAAACAAAGACAAGAAACGAAAACGACAAGAGACUAAAACCAAAAAAAGGAAGGAAAUGAGGGUAAGGGAAGCGAAAGCGAUGAAUUUGUUAAAAAAAGAAGUUCAAGCUAUAAUAUAGGGAAAGGAGAUUUAUGUAUCCAUGGCGAGCUGGCUGGCUUUUUAAACUAUUGCAGCCAUCAUGAAUUUAUGUAAAAUUUUUUCCUUAAGUUUUUUUAAAAAGUAAUAUUGCAUAUUGAGCUUAUGCUGAACCAGUGGCAUGUUUUUAUAGCAUUACACAUCCGAAUUAUUUUCUUUCUUGUCCUUUUCAAAAAGACGGAGUAUCCUAUUGCUAAAAACAAAGGCUACAUUAUUUAUGUCCCCUCGACUAAUAGCCAAAGCUUAUACUGUCUUAUUUAAGAAUCAUUGAAAAACAACUUAAAAUUCUCUUAUUGGAUUAAAAUAAUGGACUAUGCAAUGCUAAACUUAAUGACAAAUGAUCAUACUUUUGGAAAUUUUGUGAAUGAGAGUUUUACCCUAUUAGUAUGGACUAUAAUGGUUCAUGACUUUAAUGAAAGGACAAAAUUAGCCUUUAUCAAAGUCUAUUUGCAAAAUUAUUUGAAAGUUUUAAAGUGUCAAUAUUUGACAUAUCAUACUCUAGCCAACAAGAGUCGAUAGGGGUGGGACUACACGUGCAACAUUCCUACUGCUGUUGACGCAAGAGAUUAGGAUGCCGUUAUAACAAUAUAUUAUGUUAUGUUAUUUUACUUUUUAAAAAACUGUUAUGACAAAUUUACUUGCAGGUUAUUUUUUGUAAGAAAAUCCAACAUAUGCAAAAUAUAGGGACAAACCAUUUCUUCCAUAUCAAGCUAUUGAGUUUUUAUUGGAAAAAGCAAUAGUAACCGGAAGGCAGGGGUUUAGUUCUAAGAUGGAUGCCAAGGAUGGCCGUAGCAACUCCUCAUCUUCAUCGGUUAUGCAAUGACUCAAUAUGUAGAGUUUAGAAAAAAAUUUAGAGAAUGCAACUCCAACUCCCGUUAAACUAACAAGGCACUAUAUAAGUAGUGCCUCGGGUUGCACUUCGUCAAUGAAGAAGCUUCGCAUGUAACAACCAAUUUUUACACCAACUUCAAACUGUAAAAGAAAGGUUGACAAUUACUUAAAAAGUAUUUACAAGCUUGUUGCAUUAGAAAAAAAACGAACAUAUAUUUCACAAAUCAUAAUAAAAUGUGAGAUACAAGCAUGACCAAACGUUCACUCCAUAGAGUGGUUGCAUGAAAAGGUUAAACGAUAUUGCUCAUUUGUCUUUCAAUAAUAUACUUGUUGCCUAUAAUGUUCUAAAAGAUGAGCAUAAUAGGCCCAUUUUUUUAGGCAAUGAUGAUAUACAGGUUUGUAGGUGUGUAUGGUAGGGUGGCAUGUAUAAAGAUCACUAUAGACCAUUACUUUUUAAUUUGUUGUUGGAAAAUUUUUCUUUCCAAUUAAGUGGUGGAAAUUAAGGUGGAAUUUGUGACAAAACGGAAGUAGCAAGUGGCUGGUCAUUAUGUUAAUGCCCACGACUGUGGUGUUGUUGAAAAAAACUUUGGGGGAUAUUGAUGAAUUGUAGGUACUAAUUAAUUCCAAAAGCUUGAGCUAUCAAAAAAAUACAAUUAAUUUAUUAGAGCAUACAAAUACAACACUCAUGAAUCUUGAUUGUAACUCGGUACAAAUUGAGCUCUCGCUACUUCAAGCAUUUUUUUGGCCCAACCUGAUCUCUUACCAUUUUGAGCGUGACCUGGCACAACUAGACCUUCGGCCACCAGGCAAGAUGCUGCUUCUUUAAGCAAACGAUCUCCUCCCCCAGCAUUGACCUCUAGCUUUGAUACUAGUUAUCGGAUUAUUAGCGCUAACCAUUAGUUUCAAAUGCACAACCUUUUAGAAAGAUGCAACUAAAUUACUUAAAAUAUAUAGACACAAUGCCAAGGAUUAAAGUGUCGUGGCAUGGAGGCGUGCCGAUUGCCGCCUGGCACGGUACAGCACAGGCAUGCCUCCAUGCCGAUAGCAUGCUGAUAAAUACGCAUAUCCUCCUAGUAAUACGUUUUGACAUAAUUUUUUUUAAAUUUUCAAUAAUUCUUAUAAUAUUAUUUUGAAAGAUUUAGCAAAAUAAUUAUAAAUAUUGGCUUUGUAUAGUUUACUACACUCAGCAUUUAAUAUCGUAGUAGAUAUUUUAUAUAUGUAAAGUAAAAAAAUAUAACUUUAGUUUAUAGAGCAUAAAAAUAAAAAUUUGAUUAACGUUGAAAAUUUUUUGAUUUUACCUUUUUGAGAAAUUUAAAAACUAACUAGAUAAAAUUAUUUUUUCUUAAAGUUUUUACGGAAUUUGCAAGAUUCAAUAAUAUUGAUUCGAUGAGAGACCGCAUGAUAACUAAAUUAACUAGAAUAACACUACAAUUGCUCUAGUAAAUUUUGUUUUUUGAAUCUAUUAAAAAUAUUUAUUAAAAUUUUGAAUUUUUUUUUUAAUUUUGUUUAAAAAAAUUAUGAGAUCUAUCAAUAAAAAUUUACUAAUAAAUCAUAUGAAAAAUAAUUAAGCAAAUUCAAAUAUCAAUUAUUUCAAUUAAUUUUUUUUAUUUUAUUAAUAUUUUUCAUCUUCUAAAUCUAAAAUUAGAAUUCUUAAAAUUUAAAAAAAAAUUGUCGUAAAUCUCAUAUCCAAUGCUAGAUUUAUUCAAAAUAAUUAAAAAUCGAACUACAUAAUAACUUAAUCAAAAAAAUCUAUUUUUAAAAUUUUAUAAACUACAAAUAAAAUUUUGCAUAUUUUAAAUUUCUAUAAAACAGAAACUUUAUAAGUUAGAAAUAUUCAAAAUGUAUGAAUAAAUUUUAAAAUUAUAAAUUUUUUAUUUAUUUAAUAGAUACAUUUUCGACUUACUAUUUCUUUUUCUUUUCUCUCAAGAUUGAAGUGAUCAAAAUAGAAAUAAAUUAAAAAUAGAAGAAAUUGAAAGAAGAAAUUAGAAAAAAUAGCAAUAAGAAGAAAAGAUAGAAAAAAUGGAAAGAAAAAAAGAGAGGAAUAGAUUGUGAGAAGAAAAGAAAAAAACUAAAAGAGUAAGUUGAGGGAACGAAAAGGUAGAAGAGAAUGAGAUAGAGAGAUGCGUAUAGGGAAAAAAAAUAUCAAAAUAAGUGCCAAGCAAAAAAAAAAAGAAAAAAGGUUAAAACUUAAAAUGUUGUGUGCCUAUAUAAGCACGCAACGACAACGUGCCGCGAUAUCCUUUGGGUCUCAUGCUGUCUCGCACGAUACCCUUUGGGUAUCACGGCACGGUAGAUCCAAGAGAGAACCCUCCAUGCAUUGUGCCUCUUAAUUAGUGGCACGAUAUGUACGUAUCAUUCCAUGUUGAUCGGCACGCUAGAUUCUUUAAAUUUUGCACAGCACACAUCGAAUAUGACUCGGGCCAGUCGACCUCUUGUCAUUUCGAACAUGACUCGACACAAAAUAUCCUCUUGCCAUGAGGUAGGAUGCUAACUCCAUUAAGCCAACCGUUAUUUUCAUAAUUAUGAUGAUAUUUCUCUUGUAAAGAUUGUCCAAGAUCAUGGGGAACUAACUGAUUUUUUGUAUACUAAUUUUAGUCUACUUGGUAUCAAAGUUAUUGAUUGUUGGGCAAACUAAGAGUUUUCUUUUUUCCUCUUUUAAAACAUAAUUUUUAUGUUUUGGUUUUGCUAAUGGGGUCCAUGAUAUUAGUUGUCCAAUUUUUAAUUGCCAAAUAGUGUGCCUAUGUGUGCGUUUUUUUUUUUAAUCUAUAAUGCAUGUAAAAUGACCUACUAAAAAGCUCACUUUAAUAUUCUUAACAAUCUGAUUUUUUUUUCUAUGAAGGAAAGUUUGCGUUACAUUGUCAAUAAUUGUGACAAAUCAAAUCAAUUAAGCAAUCCACUAUAUAAAAUCUUUCUACAUAGCAUCCAACAUAUUAUACAUUUUCCUAUGAUUAUAUUUACUAAUUAUACUCACAUAAAUGUACUUUGUUGUCAUGUAUCUUUGUGUCUCCUCAUUUGUCUCAUUCUUGUAGACAAAUUAGCAUUAAUGCAACCAAUUGUGAACAACUGAUGUUUUUGUCUUGUCUGAGGUUGUAUAGUGUGCUUAGCUGUAAUGUACCUAAAGUUAGUUGAUGUUUUCUUUUUUCUUUUUCUUUCUUUUUUUUGAAAAAAAAAAGUAUGGAGACUCUAAAACAUUUAAACUUUUUAAUUUGACAAAGAGAUCCCUUAAACUUUAUCAAACAAUUCAAUAGACAACUCUUCUCAAGUAAACUUACUAACUACAAAAACCGUUUUGAUUGUUUAUCGUGUACAUAAUUCUGUAAAACUCAAAAUAUAGAGAAAUUUAUUUCCUCUCUUCCAAUUUUGAUAAUUAAGCAUCACUAUCAAAGAAUAAGUUGAACGGAAAUUUUUUUUUUCUUUUGCUUUUCUUAUAUGUUAGAACACAAAAAAUAAUUUUUUUUUUUGGGUGUUUUGAAGCUUUUAUAAAACUAUAUACGAUAUAUAAGACUAAAAUGAUUGUAUAAUUAACAACUUUAAUUAAAGAGAUGAACCUAUUGAACUAUUUGAUAAAGCGUAAGAAGAUUUUUUGCCAAAAUUUAAAGUUUAGACCCGUGCUUACAAAUGAGAUAAAGUUCAAACGUCUCCAUACAUUUUAUCCUUUUUUCUUGGCUAAAUUAUGAAGAGAAAUGCUACUGGUACAACCCAAAGUGAAGUGUACACUUUACACCUAUACCAUCCAAAAGUUAUUAAUUUUUUAGUUGUCACAUCAAUUUUUUAUGAUUUUGCUAAAAAUUAUUUGGAUUUUUAUCAACCCUAAAAUGGGACGGGGGGGGUGUAAGAUAUAUAUACACCCGUUCUUUUUUGGGUGUAUAAGAAUCAUUUUUCAAUUACAACAAGCCUGUUUACACUUUAGCUCCGGCCUUAAUUACCUCCUGCAUUAAAAAAUGGAUCAAUUAGCAGUCUGUACUUUAUCAUUCUCUCAAAAAAAUCAAAGAAAUUUGAAAAAUUGGCAAAUCAGGCUGUAAACCUUCACUAAAAUGAGAUAGCAUAUCACAUUGUUCAACAUCUCAAGAUAUAUUCAAUUUGCAACUCAAAAUAUUAAACAAAUCAAAUAAAGGAGAUCUCCUAUUUUAGUAAUACUAUCAAAAUUGAUAGCUUAUUGAAGAAUUUAUUUAAUUCUUAUGAUUCUAUUGCAUUAUUUACAGAUAAUUUUAAACUACAAAUUUAUUUUUAUAAAGUUUUUAUACUUAAAUUCAACAAUUAUCCGAAAUAGCUAGAUCUACUUGAGAUAAUGAUAAAGUGUAAGAGAUAAUUGAUGUUUUCCUUUUAUGGUGGGGGUAAUUUAGAAGCCAUUUGCCAUCACAUCAUUUAGUAGCAAUUGCCAAAUAACAAUUUAAGCCUGUGACAGUUGGUAUCAGAGCGAGUUCGGAGCUGAGAAAUCAUGUCUACCUCGGAUGUUGUCGUCGUUGAUGUUGUGCCUGAACCAAAAGGAGGCAAGUGCAGCAAGAGCAAGGCACCACGGACUCUAGCGAGAGAGUCUGCCUCGCUUGAAGAUUGCAUGAGGCUGCUAAAGGAUUUCGUUGCCAAAGUUGACGAGCAUUGCUUUGUCCUGACCUGUCAUGUGGGGAUGAUAGAGGACAGGUUGCAUGUCAUGGAGAACAGCGUUGCAGCUACCAUGACAACUUUCUGUGAGCAGCUCGAGCAGCUCUGCCAUGACCUUAUCUGUUGUGACGACGAUAAGAAGCGCUGAUCGAGGAGAUCAUCGCUUGCAGCGACGAGGUUGACUACCUCAAGAUGAGGGUGGCGAUCCUCAAAAAAGCGAUGGCUCGUGGCAUUGAGACGCAUAAAGAGUACACCCCAAAGAUCCGCAUCCCUAAACCCUAAUGCUUCAAGCGCACACGUCAUGAGAAGGAAAUUGACUAUUUCUUAUGGCACAUGGAGCGCUACCUCAAAGCAUCGCGGUUGGAGGACAAGGAUGACAAGGUCCAAACUGCUUCCAUGUAUCUCGCCAAUGACGCGAUGCUAUGGUGGCAGCAGCGUUCUGCAGAGGCCGCGAAGAGCUAAUGCAAGCCGAAAAUUUGGAAAGACUUCAUGUCGAGCUAAAAGCAUAGUUCUAUCCCAAGCACAUUGAGUACCUGGCGCGGAGGCAGCUUCAAUGACUCAAGCAUAUGAGGUCCCUCAAGGAGUACUCCAAGCUGAUGCUUACCAUAGCUAGAAUGGCUGAGGAGGACAGGCUAUUCUUCUUCCUCAACGGUCUCCAACCAUGAGCUAACAAAGAGCUCUUGGUGAGGGACAUGAAGGAUGUGAGCUUCGCUAUUACCUUGCCGGAGAAACUGCCAAAGUACGAGAAGUGGGACUUUACUUGUGGCAAGCCACACUACAACAGAAUUAGGUUAUAGGGACACAUGUUUGGGACACUUUUGAGUAAGUGUCCCAUUUAUGCUAAAGUUUAAAAAAAUAUCUGCUAAUGCCUAAAUAUAAAACCCAAUCCAACCAAAAAUAAAAGAUUGCUCUACUCAACCCACCACACCCAGUCCAUUUGGCCCGAUUACAAACAAAAAAGAAAAAAAAAGAAGAAAAAUCAAUUGCUAUUUUUUCUUCUCUCUUCACUCAAUCCACUGAAAUUCUAGACGAAGAGCCUUUCUUGUCGUCCUCCUCCGCUACCGCAGCCAACGAGAUAGAGUUUCGGCGGUUGCUAAAUGCUUAAAUAAGUGUUGGUAAAUUAGCAGCACUCUUUUAGGUUAUAGCGACACUCUUUAACUGUCACUAUAUACCUAGCGACCCCACAUAUAGCAACACUUUUUAGAAGUGUCGGUAAUUUUAGCUAGCAGCACUUUUUUGACAUGUACCUACAUUUAAAAGUGUCGCUAUAGGCCGUUUUUGUUGUAGUGCCACCUAAGGCUAUACAAUAUCCUAUGCAAAUAUGCAAUAUGCUAUGCAAAUAUACAAAAUUUUAAAAAAUAUAUAAAAUAUUUAAAGUUUUAGAGGAGUAAAUAUACAAUAUCCUAUACAAAUAUGAGUUCGGCUACUAUACUAUCGAUAGUUCCCAGCGCUUGAUACUAUCGAGUUUUCCGCUGUUAGAUCUGUCCCUCUGACCAUUUCCAUCCAUUAGAUCAUAUUAUUCAACCAACCACCCACUCAACCUUAAGUGACCACUAUCAUCGUAAUCACACAUUCCUUCAUCUAAGGGCUGAAAAUCUACAAGCACUCGAUAGUUUUAAUAGUAUAGUAGCCUAGUUCAUGCAAAUAUAACCUCAAAGAGAAGAAAUACUAAUUGUAGGAUUUACAAUUAAAAAUUAGUUACAGAUGUAGCUUGGCUUUAAAAAAAAUGAGCUAUGAGAAAAUACUCUCUGCUCUUGAAAAUGGUGCACAACUAAAAAAACGAGCGAAUGUAUUAGUAUAUUUUCUACACCACAUGCUUCUUUAAAAUUCUAUAAGAAAAUUUUCUCACAUCUAAAAUUUAGAAUUAUGUUACUAUACUAUAAACAGUAUUAAGCACUUGGUACUGUUAGAUCUUCGGUCUUUGGAUGAAGAGAUGUGUAGUUAGAAUAAUAGUAGUCCCCGGUUAGAAUGAUAGUAGUCUUCUAGGAAUGAGUAGGUAAUUGGUCGAAUAAUAUGAUCUAAUGAGUAGAAAUGGCCAAAGAGAUAAAUCUAAUGGUGGCAAACUCAAUAGCACCAAGCGCUGGCACUGUCGAUAAUAUAGUAGCCGAACACCUAAAAUUUAACAUAUUGAAUUAUGUUAUGUUAUAUUUAAAGCGUAUAAUUCGUGAAAAUCAUAAAUUUUGAACAUUUAUUUUUCUUACAAUAUUAAAUAAUAACAUAUUUUAUGAGGAAUUGAUUUUUUAAAGCGACCUACAUGCCUAGCAAAUAAGUUUCAAAUAAAAAUAAUUUUUAUCUAAAGUCCCUUUUAAAAAUGUUGGUUUUCGGCUUGAAUAAAAAGUCGCUACUAAAUUUGAAGGUUCGAUAACAUUGCGCUAACCCCCUCAAUUAUAGGCUAUUUAGAUUUAAUCAACCCAUUUUGGUUUUUAAUAUUAAGAGUGACAAGCUCCAAAUAAAUUUAAAAAUUUAUCAAAUUGUGUCGAUUAUCUUAAUCAAAUUUAAAAAUGAUAAUUUAUUAGUAAAUAAAGCAACAACAAUUAACUAUUAAUAAAUGAUAAAACAUUAAAUUUAAUAAAAUUUUAACAAAACUAAUUAAAAUAACUCAAUUUUUUAUUUAAAAAAAGUUACAAGUAGAAAAAAUAUCAAUAAUUAAAAGUAAAAGUAAAAACUAAAGGGAUUUAUUUUACAAUGGCCUAUAGUUGAGGGAGUCUUAAUAUAAUUUUCAUCAAGUCAGAUAUUGAAUAACAUUUUCGUGACUAUCUCCUAUUUUUCUUUCAUUAUUUUCCUCAUUUAAUAGAUAAUAAUACGGUGGUUAAUUAUGUGGUUCGUUAAACUUUCAUUUACUAAAUAAAUAAAUAUAAUUAAAUUAAGUGACAUAAUAUUGUCGAGCUUUUAAAUUAAAAUUUUUAAGUGGCUUCUUUAUAGGAUCCAGACUCAAUUUUGUAGAUUAUAUAUGCAAGGUUAAAUUUUUAUAUUAAAAUGAUAAAGAUAUAUAUAAAGCUUAUCUAAACUAUCACCCUUCUGUAUUCGAAUAUCUAAUAUUUAAAAUUUUUUAUUUUACUAACUGUCAUUUUAGUUUAUUUGAUUUGAGUCAAUUAGUAACUUUUUAACUAUAAGGCUUCAAAAUCUUGUUUAUAUUUAUAGAUUUAGUUAUUAUGUUUUAUACUGUUUACGUAAUUGUAAAUUUACUAAAAUAAGCAAUAAGCUUAAAUUUAUAUUCAAAAAAUUAUUAAAUUAUUUAAAUCAAAUAAAUGUAAGAUUGGAUACUAAAUUAAAAAUUAAAAAAAUUUGGUAGUCGAAUUAAAAUUAUCUGUAACUCGGAUAAAUUUUAUAUAUUUUAACAUGUUAAAAACUUAAAAUAUUAAUCAUCGAAUAUUAGCUGGGGCGCACACAAAAAUUUUUAUUCAUUAGAGUCCACUGNUCAAAUAAGUGUAAGAUUGGGUACUAAAUUAAAAAUUAAAAAAAUUGGGUAGUCGAAUUAAAAUUAUCUGUAACUCGGAUAAAGUUUAUAUAUUUUAACAUGUUAAAAACUUAAAAAAUUAAUCAUCGAAUAUUAGCUGGGGCGCACACAAAAAUUUCUUCAUUAGAGUCCAGUGGACCAGGUCCAGGAAACAAGCUCUCCCUCUCUCCCGAGCUCCCACGUGUCGACCCGGUCCCACGUGCGAGCGCCCUCCACCGAGUCGCCACGUGUCGCCCUCUCGUCUCCGUCGCGUCCCCGCCGUGUCGACUCCCGCGCCGUCCCCGCACCCCGAACGGGCCUCCGCAGGUCAUUUAACCCGUACUCCCCCACUAACCCCUUUCUAAAAUCAACUACUAAUUAAUGUAACUCUUUCCCUCUAUAUAGUAAUAGUAAAACUAAAAUUAUAAUAAAAUAAAAAAAAAAUAUAAAAAUAUAAAAAUAUAAAAAUCCUACCCUCCGUCUCAAGUGUCGACCGACGUCGAAGGGUUCGCGUUAUUAUUCCUCCCCCAAUUCGUCCCCGACGACGAAUCUCGCGCAUAAACCUCCUCCUCCUCCUCAUCCUCCUCCUCCUCCUNUGCCAUGCAUAUAUCUGCACCAAGAUAUGGAAAACAUAGCUAUGAUGCUCCAUCUCCUAAUUUUAAUUGGGUCAACUAAUGCAUAUAUAUAUAUAUAUAUAUAUAUAUAUAUAUAUAUCCGCCGGUAUCAGAUCCCCUCCUCCACCGUCGCCAACGAUCCCCGCUCCGGCGUCGGCGAGGUGGAGGGGUUCCAGCGCCACGUCGCGGAGCUCCUCCUCGACCUCGCCGGGGACGACGUCCUCUCGCUCUCGUGGGCGCGGAAGCUCCUCGACGUGUUCCUCAUCUGCUUGGAGGAGUUCCGCGUCCUCCUCUUCAACAGCGGCGCCCAGGCGACGCCGCCGCCGCCGCCGCUGGAUCGGCUCCUCGCGGACUUCUUCGACCGCGCGGUGAAGGCGCUCGACGUGUGCAACGCCGUGCGCGACGGCGUGGACCAGAUCCGAGAGUAGCAGAAGCUCCUCGACAUCGUCCUCGUCGCCCUCGCCGCGGCGUCGGCGCCGCCGGAGGCGGAGCGGGGCCCGAUCGGCGAGGGCCCGAUCCGCCGCGCGCGCAAGGCGGUCACGGAUCUCACCAUCCUGAUGCUCGACGAGAAGGAGGCGGGGUCGUCCGUCUCGAUCCUCGGCGGCCACCGCAACCGAUCCUUCGGCCGCAGCAACAACAGGGAUCACCACCAUCACCACCACCAGGGUGGCCAGCACCGCCGCAGCAGCAGCAGCGGCAGCAGCGGCAGCGGCAGCGGCGGCCACUACCGCUCCCUCUCGUGGAGCGUCUCGCGCUCGUGGUCCGCGGCGCGGCAGCUGCAGGCCAUCGGCGGCGGCCUCGCGGCGCCGCGGGCGGGCGACGUCGCCGCCACCGGCGGCCUCGCCGCCGCGGUGUUCGCGAUGAGCGCCGUGCUCUUCUUCACCAUGUGGGCGCUGGUGGCCGCGAUCCCGUGCCAGGACCGCGGCCUGCAGACGCACUUCUCGGCGCCGCCGCGCGGGUUCCCGUGGGCGGGGCCGCUGCUUGCGCUGCAGGAGCGGAUCGUGGAGGAGUCGAAGCGGAAGGACCGGAAGCACUCGGCCGGCCUUCUGAAAGAGAUCUACCAGAUCGAGCGGUGCUCGCGGCAGCUGGUGGAGAUCACGGACGCCGUCCAUUUCCCCAUGGACGCGGAGAGGGAGGCGGAGGUGAGGGAGGCGGUGGGCGAGAUCGCGCACGUGUGCGAGGCCCUAAAGGAAGAGCUGGACCCGCUCGAGCGCCAGGUGAGGGAGGUGUUCCAUCGCAUCGUCCGCAGCCGGACCGAGGGCCUUGAUUGCUUAAGUAGGCCGCACAAUCCUGAGUAGAGAAUGAAACAUUACUGAUGGGGUUUGAACGGAGAGGCGUCAAUGGUGCACAAUUUGCUGGUAUUCAAUGUGGAUUCAUUCAAGUUCUUCUUGGAUUUCGGAUCUGAUGCUUAUUUUGAGCUAAGAAUUGGAAGAGGAAGGAAGGAGAUGAAGGAAGAAACAGAGGGCGUAUCCUUCCCGGAUAAGGGUUAGAGACUUUUAACUCUUUUGUAUUUACUUGAUUGUUGCAUAAAUGUUGUGAAAAGAUGAUUGGAUUUUUCUGAAUUGCGGUUAUGGCCAUCGGCUGCCUAGAGUAUUCACUGUAUAAUUCUUCAACUUUUGUGUUGUUGUGAAUCACGGAUGUAGUGGAUUGCCGGAAUAUAGUUUUAUUGUUUUCUGAUGUUACUGUCCUUCCUUCUGUGAAUUUUUAUUUCAGAGAGUAAAUGUAUAAGAAAUUUUGCCGAAACUGAAUUAGGGAUGAGAUGCAGUUGUUGUCUUUAUACCCAGUAUCUGAUUGAUGGGCUGAGUCGGGAAAUGAUUCAAUUGUUCUUCAACUUCGUGUUGUGAGUUUCGCUCGAAGUGUAUGAAAAAUGAGAUUCAGGGUUAGUAUUGUUACCGAUGCUUCUUUGCUACAUGUGGUGAUGGGUGAGCUGCAUUGGGAAACAUGUUUGUUUAGGCAUCACAACCAAUUGCAGUGGUUCUGUAUUAUUUGUCUGUUGUUCUCAGAUAUCAAGAAAACUCUCUCAUCUAUUGUGAAAAGGUUUUUCUCUUUCUGUGACCUCAUUAGUUGUUUAGUUGUGAAAUAUCUAUUAGCACAGAUUCCCAUUAUGAAUCUUUCCAUAAUUUGGUUUAAAAGCCUUAUUUGACAAUCUAAUGUAGGGGAUGAUAGUACUUGGAAGUUGAAUAAAUAGUAAAUUACCGAGAGUUUUAUUCUGGCUUUCUCUGUGAAACUUUAUCUUACAGUGCGAAACAAUAAUAUUCUUUUAUCUGUCAUUUGUUGCUCUUAUCUAGACCUUCAAAAAUGUUGUGUCCAGUUGCCUCUCUGCACAGUAGCAUACUGAAGACAAAAGUCUCCUGUUAGGCAAAGUCAAGAAAUCAGCAAAUUCCUCAAAAGCCACGGGUUUGUUUAAUUUAAGGAUGAAAGAUAAGUAGUAGAGGCGGCAAUAUAUUGCUAUAUUGGGAACACUAAAGCGAUAUUGACGAAGUGAAGGACUUACCAAAUGAUCAUUUAACUAAUUGGAAAGAAGAUGUCAAUAUUCAUGGGCAAUUUACCUGUUCAGGAAAGUUAUUGAGAGUAGUUAUACCUAUGUGAAUGAAAUGUUUACAAGUGAUUAAAUAAUCUGCAAAGUAGAUGGUGAUUUUCUUAACUUUUGAUGACCGCACGAUGCUGUCAUAGUAGCCGCUGAGGUGUGAUAAGCAUAGCUACCCUUUUGUUUGAGAUGGACAAGCUUAUUGCAUGAAAAUGAAUUUUAUUGGCAACAAUUGUCAUCGUCAUCAUUAUUAUGUUGUUCCUUCCGAAGUGUGGAUUGAUCUCCAGGGUAUAUGUAGAUGGCAAAUAACAUUCCAUUAGUUACUUUCGCUUUCUGAAAAUUUAACUUCUAUUCAUGCCCUUAAAAUUUGUUUCUAGGAAGUUUUAGGUCUCCUGUACUUAAAAUACAGGCAAUUUUUGAUCAAUUGCGAAUCUUCUUUAUUAUAUCAUUGUCAUUUAGGUGAGUUUGAACAUGUAAAUAUUGUUAUAGUGAUCCUAUGGUGUCUAGAGAUGUAAGUUCCGGGAAAGUAGUGAAAUUUGUCGACUGCACAUGGUAUCAUCAUCAUAUGUAUAAUUCUUCUUGCACCUGUAAUAAUACAACUUCUUCGCUUAAUUGCUUUAUAGUGAUUGAACUUCUGUACUCUUAUUGCUCCUCUAGUGCCUCUAUUUCUUUCUUCGUCACAGUUUGUCGUUAAACUCUUCACCAGUUGUUUUCUCUUCACCAGCCUCGAGUAAAUCUAUUAUGUUUCGACAACUCUGGUAGUGUGCAUUAAGAGGUUACAAUACAUAAUUUGCAUUAUUUGCAUUCCAGGAUGUGGAAAUGUUGUUAAUCCUUCGAUGGUACUUUGACAUUCUGUGAACAGUAGUAGGGAUAUCAAUAGGACAAGUUCAGUUUAUAUUUUACCAGAAGUGAAACCUGUAAACAAACCAGACCCCGAAUCAAACGGUUUUGAAAAUGUUGCAGUAGUUGAUGAUACUUAUAGUGGUUGCUGAUGUUACUUGACCUUGGUCAAAAGAUUAUAUAUCAUUAUGGAUAUAUGUACAAGGGAUUUUGCUGAGUGUGAGUGAACAAUGAGAUGCAGUGUUAGAAUUGUUACUGAUGCUUAUUUGGUUGAGUUGGGAGAUAUGUUUGAUUCUGCACUACAAAUGAGUAAUAAUUGUUCUGUAUUGUUAGACCUUGUUUGGUAUUGGUAGUUUUGCCAGUAUUUUGUUUUUCAAAACACAAAUUCUAUGCAAUGGAUUGUGUGGAAAAUCGGUGGAGUACUUUCAGUUUAUACAUCUACAGUGUUUGGCCAGAUUGCUUUGCAAUCUAGCUAAUGAUGACAAUGGUAGGAAGGUCCAUCUGCUGGCACAUUCAACUGCAUAGAAUUUUUCGUUAUGAAAAGGAAAAAUACACAAUAAUACCAAACAAGGCUUAGUCUGCUUCUUCCCAAUAGUAGGAAAGUCCAUCCAUUAGCACAAAUUUCAUUCCGAAUCUUGCCGUAAUUCUGGUUGAGCAUGCAGAAAACUCAUAUCACAAUCUUAUGGAGGGGAUGACGGUGGACUCAUUUGAUGUCAAAUGUAUCUUACAUUAGAUAGCAAUGUGAUGCAAAAAAGAAAAGCAGGAAUGUUGCCUAUUUGCUUUUCAAUUCGGCUUUCUCCAAACUUUUGCUUUGAACCAUGGGUUGUACUUUUAUUUUCUAGACCUUCUAAACUCUAUGAAUUGGCUUCUGCGCAUUACAGAGGCAGGAGAUUUGAACAGUUCUUUUUAAGUAGAAGUGUGAUCAAUUCGACGGAUGUUCUCAAGAGAAGGUAUUGCUGAAUUAGGAGCAUUGAGGAUAAAUUUGAUAAUAAUUCUUUAAAUUAUUGAAAGAGAGAUGUCGAUAUUUAUGGGAAUUUUACAUAUGGGUUACAUCUAGUUAUUGAAACUUGUAAAGAUUUGUAUGAAUGUAUAUUUACAAGUGAUCGAGUAAUCUUCAGGCUAUUAGUGGAUUUGUUUCUCUGAUUUCUGUGUAUAGAUAUGUUCUAACUGAUUUUGUUGAAAUAGCUAGUGAACUGAUUACUAUGACUACCAUUUUAUUUAUGAUAUACAUUGUUAUUCAAUACAUUUCUGAAUGCAUAAACAGGAGCUUUGUUGCGAACCCUUCUUCUCGUCGUCUUCGUCAUUGUGCUGUUCUUUUAGCAGUUAUUAGUUGGAACAAUGGAUUGAUCUCCUCAGUCAAUGUAACUUGUACUGUUAGUUGCCUUGUCCUUUGCAGAUUUUACUUUUAUUAUGAUGACAAUGAACCUCAUCCAUAUUUCCUAUUUAGCCUUUAAAGAUCUAUUUCCAGAAAGAUUCAAGUCCUCUUUAUAUAUGCCUAAGUGGGAUUUUGGAUUUGGUUUAGAGGCAGAUAUUGAUUGAUUACGAAUUCUUUUGUCCCCCUGUUUGGAUGCAUAAGCAUCUUAUUCCAUGUAGCUUUUUUACUUAAAAAAUUUGUAGUAUCUGGUAAAUGAAUAGCGCCAUCAAAGUUUAGAAUGGUGUAACAUAUUAGGAUUUCACAUCAUUUUCUCGCAAUGAGAUAAAUCAUCUUGUAGGUAAAAUGUACUUGAAGUAGGCUGGAAUGCUCUCAAUAGCAUCAAGUUCUUGGUGCUAUUAAGUUUUUGGUCCUUGGAUAAAGAAAUGUACGGUUAGCAUGAUGUGGGUCCCCUAGUGUUGAGUGAGUUGUUGGUUGAAUAGUAUAAUCUAACGGAUGGAAAUAAUUAAAUAAUUAAAUUUAACAGCGGAAAACUCGAUAGCACUAAGUGCUUGGUGCUAUCGAUAGUAUCCCAACCAAAUUCAAUAUACUUUCCUAUCAAAUCAUAAAUGCCUAGAUGCUAAGAUCUUUCAACAAGCAAAAAACAAACUUCUUUCUGUAUAUCAUAUAAGAAAAUUUUUAUUUGGAAUUAGUUAUCAUUAGAUUACUUAUUUGAACAUCUAAUCAUGUUUUAAUUAUUAUAAUACAUAAUUUGACGUUUGUUCAAUCUACGAGGCAUUCUCUCCUUUGUUCUCUUCACGUAGUUGGCUCUAUCUCCCUUUCCUGUUUUCCCUCUCCAGAUACGUUUCUCUCUCCUAUUUUCUCUUUCUCUCCUUCUGUCUCUCUCUAUCAUAUCUUAUAAGAUCUCAUAAUAAUCUCAUAUUCCUCUCUCUUCUAGGUAAUUAUUAUGCUCUCAGGGCUCUAACUCUCAUUCGUACAACUCUCUUUUUCUUUUUUGAUCUUUCUAUCGUAUCAUAUAUCAUAUAUUAUAGAAUCUUACAAAAUCUUCUAAAAAUUUUUAUAAUUUUUUUUCUCUAUCAAAAUAAUAAAAUUCUUUUAAUUUUUCUCCCAUCUCUUUCUUCCAAUCGUAUCUCCAUUUUUUUUCUCUAUCAAAACAAUAAAAUUCUUUUAAUUUUUCUCCCAUCUUUUUCUUCCAAUCUUAUCUCCUUUUUUUCUCUCCUCCUUUUUACCUUAUCCACCUCUCUCUCUCUCUCUCCUCCUAUGCCUCUCUCUCUCCCUCUCUCCUUUCGUGUUCGCUUGGCCGAUUAGAGAUCUCAGAGCAAUAGCGUAAAGGAGAAUCUUUUUCUCCAAUUGCUUUGUCAACUGAUUGGAGAUUUCAGAGUAAUAGUAUAAAUGGAGAAGGUGAUCGUGAAUUAAGGCUUUGGAUUAUCUUUAAUCCAUCACAAAGGUUCAAUUCCUGAUUGGGAUUUUUGAUCCUAUAUUUAUAGUGUUUAUACUCGACUUUUUAUUUUUUUUUUGUUCAUAAUAUUUGCCUUUUUCUUUUUUUGUAAAUUGGUAGGAGUCGCGUGCAAAGGGGUGGUGAAGGAGGUCCGAGAGGGAAAAGAGGAGGGGUAGCUAUGGAAUUGAUUUGAAAGAAUAGUUUUAACAUUUUGUGUUGUAUGAAACAUUGACAUGAGUAAAUUUCUUAUAAUAUUUAUAUAUAAAUACUCUAAUGAGUAUUUUGGAUGUGUUUUUUUAACUGCUGCAAAGCAUUGGCCCUAUAUAUUGCACUAAUUUAGAGACCACGAAGACCUUGUUUUAGUAGUCUCUAUAGAUGUAAAUUCAUAUAAUACUCUCUCCCUCGAUCGAUUGAAUUAUUGAGCAAUAAGACCCACCAUCUUUUUGAAUGAUUUCCUUUAUACUAGUACAAGUAGUUUUAUUGACUAGUGUUGCCAUGUGGUGUGCUUAUAUUGGCCCGUUCAAAUUCAACUCAAUCGGCAUAAGAUGUGGAUUGAGAUUUAUCCUAAUAAGUUAAGGAUAAAGAUGAAUUAUAUGUUUCCUUUUAGUUAAAAAAUAAAUCUCCUAAUGAAUAUCUUAAUAGAUAUUCUAAUCUUAAUCUCUAUAUAAAAAUCAUGACAUUUUAAGGGUUCUGAUAAUCUAUAAAUAUAAUCAAUAUAUUUCGAAUUUUGUAUCCGAUAAUCUAAAAGAACGUACGAAAUAAUUGACUUUCCUGCUUCUUUUCUCCACAUUUUUUCUGAGAUUUCCGCCGACGUUCUUAGGAUUUUUGACUGUGGAUAUAGAAGAGGACUUUGUAGCACUCUUCGUAUCCGACAACUUGCGAUGCAUGGAAGAAGGUGAGAUACAUUAGUUGUGUUUUUUUCUUUCUACUUCAUGCAUUUUUAAAGAAAAAAAAAAUUACAUGCACUUCUUUUUUAUUUUUUUGCUUUGUGCAUCAACACACACACACAAAGACCUCUGCAAGGCGGACCAGCCUGCAGGCCUGCAGCAGGCCUGCAGGCCUGGCCCGGCUACAGCCGAUGAUGGGGCCCAGCCUAGCUGCAGCAGUCUGUAGGCCUGGCCCGCCCGAUACCGGGCUCAGUGGCCCGGCUAGGCAGUAGCUGGCAUGCGGACCUGGUGCCUGGGCCCGGCCCGACCGCAGCACGUAUGCUGGCUCGACCCGCCCCGCAGUGGGCUUGCCGGCCGCCUGGGCCUGCGCGAGGCCCUCUCUUCGUUUUUUUGAUUUUUUUGGUUUGCUUAUUUAAAAAAAUAAAAAAUAUUCCUAUGUGUUAAUUUUUUUUGUGGAUAUCAUAGUUUUUUUUUUUUCUCUUUUUAUGGGAUACACAACAAUACACCAAAAAAAAAUCUUUUUUUUUUUUUAUGUUCUUGCGGGACAUUCUUUUAUGCUUGUAUAUCAGGCGUGUGUUGUUUGUUUUAUUUAUCCUAUGUGGGUGCAAAUGUUGAUGUUUAUGUAGCAUAUUGUGAUUGAAUGAUUGCGUGAAAUUUUUUUGGCACAUAAAUAUUUGUAUUCUUUUGAUGUUUUCAACAAAAUUUAAUUUUGAAAAAAACGGAUUCGACGUGUGCGGCAUUCCUUUAAAACAAUUCUUUUUUCUGAUGUACAUUUCUAUAAUGAUGUGGUAGAUUUUAUUCUGCAAAAAUAUGUAAUAAUUAAGGCUAUAUAAAGUAAUAUGUUUUGCACGGCGCCAACAUUUUAAAAUUAAAUUUUGGUACAAAUGAUAUUAUGGAGAUAAGUUUUCAAAAUAUUUUUUUUUAUAAAAGAGAGAGAUGUGUUCUUUUAAUAUGGAUGAGUUUCAAUUUUUUGGAUAAGUUCCAAAAUUAAUAAAAAUAUAGUAAGAUUAUAAUAUUUUGAACCGCUACUGGACGAUGAUUACGAGCUUAGCAAAGUUUUCAAUUCUGUUGUAUUGGAGAAAUGUUUCAAUCUUGUUAUUUUUUUAAGAAAUGUAUCUAAUGUCCAAACCUGAUUUUAAAUGUAGUGAAAUUGCUUCCAAGAAUGUCAUAAAAGACCUCACCAGGGUGAUAAGCUAGGUAGAAAAAAUUAUGAGAUUUGAUAUAGAAAAAUAUAAUACCUCCUAAAUAAAUAAAGAGUUCUUGAAACUCUCUCUGUCAAAAAGUUCAUGCCUCCGGAAGGCACUACGACAGAGUAUAAAAGGAACGUCUAUAAUAAGUGGCUCAAAGAGGAUCGAACUACUCGGUACACUAUAUUGUGUGCGAUACAAGACAACCUCAUUGGACAAUUUGAGACCUACGAGACUACCAAGGACAUGUGGGAUAAUUUGAAGAUUAUUUUUGGGAAAAGUUCAACCAUGAGGUGACGCGCCUUAAUCUCAAGUUUCAAUUGUGUACUAAAAACCCAAAACACUCAAUGACUGAGCACCUUCGUGUGAUGGGCGCCAUGAUUGAAACCUCAAGGCUAUUGGAAACGAUCUCAAUGAUGAGCAAUAGAUUCUCUCGGUGAUUCAUUCACUGUCGGAUCCUGAAUGGUCCCAGAUAAAGCUCCUGAUAAUGCACAGCGAAAGUGUUAAAACAUUUAACAACAUCUCGUGCCAUCUUGAGUUCGAGGCAGAGCGGUUGGAAUCGAAAUGCUCUAUUGCUCUUGUUGCGCGCUCUAAGAGGUGCGGUAGGAUCACCCCGAAGCGCAAGAAGCAUCACAACAAUGAAGCGUAGAAGAGUCGAAAUCAAGCUCCUCAAGAUGGAGUUGGAAAGCACUACAGAGGCAAGCGUACUGACAAUAGGGAUGCCAUAAAGGUGAAGUGUUAUAACUGCAAAAAGAAUGGUCACUUCACUCAAAAUUGUCUGAGCCGAAAAAGGUAACUCUGCCACUCAACUCACACUGUUUUGUUUGCUCUUACACUUUAGUAGUUCAUUCUCUUCUCGAUUAGAUUGUAGAUACAGGAGGAAACGAACACGUAGUUUGUGACCGAUUAGGGUUCAUAGAUUACCAUCAAGUACCGACAGUCACAGAAUUUGUCACCCUUGGGAAUAGCACGAAAGAGGAAGUCCUUCGAGUUGGUGCGUACCAACUCAGAUUGCAUGGUGGCCGCACUUUACUAUCUAGGACGUGUUAUAUGUGCACUCGAAAUUCGAUGUAAUCUGUAUUCAGUUUUAAAUUUGCUAUAUUUAGGCUAUUCCUUUUAUUUUUAUUUUGAUUGAGACCGCCUUGUUAUUUUCUUUCAUGAUGCUUUAUUCGGAUAUAAUAUAUUAAUUGAUGGUUUCUUUAAAUUAGAUUUGGAGGAUAAUUUGUUUGCAUUUGCUUCGUUUUAUUUUAAUUUCUGUGAUGAAUUCAUUAAAUGGCAUGCUAGAUUAGGCCAUAUAUGUGACGCCCCAACAUCCCAGGGGGUCAUCCAUCCUAGGACUACUCCCAUCCUAGCACGCUUAACUCUAUCUCUUGGAUCUAUCCACCGCCCAAAUUGAUUAAGCCAGAUUAUUAGUAAUAGGACAGAGUCCUCCUAUAUACCCAAUGACAAUUCCAUUCAACUCUAUUUUCAUCUAAUGUGGGACUAUUGGGGUGCCACAAGACUCCCUCGUUUAGGCCCUAAUGUCCUCGUCAGCCCUUAACACACACAGCCGACGAUCACCGGGCGAUGUGAGACUCGUUUCACUAACCUUGUCAUUCUAACCCUGACUUAGCCUGUCAUUCACCGACCCUGUCUUAGUUUGUCAUUACGAUCCUACCUCAACCAAGGCUCAUCUCAUACUUCCGGUUGAUGAACCAGCUCGGAUACCAACUGUGACGUCCCAACAUCCCAGGAGGUCAUCCAUCCUAGGACUACUCUCGUCCUAGCAUGCUUAACUCUCUUAACCUUUUGGAUCUAGCCACUGCCCAAAAUGCUUAAACCGUGUUAUUAUUAAUAGGUGGAGUCCUUUUAUAUACCUAAUGAUAACCCUAUUCAACCUCACUUCCAUCCGAUGUGUGACUAUUGGGUUGUCAUAAUAUAGGUUAAGAAAAGAUGAAAAGACUAGCUCAAGAAGGUCUUUUGGGGUCUCUCGCCAAAGUUGACCUAUAUGUGUGCAAGUCUUGUCUGGUUAGGAAGACAUGUAGAAAGCCUUUUGGUAAGGCUACUUGUGCCAUUCAUUCUUUGGAGCUGAUCCAGUCAGAUAUUUGUUGGCCAAUGAAUGUGAGGGCAUGACAUGAUGCAUGGUAUUUUCUCAUAUUCAUUGAUGAAUAUUCUUGUUAUGGUAAUAUAUAUUUGCUUUCUCACUGAUCUGAAGUUUUAGAUUGCUUCAAGCGUUUCAUUGCGUGCUUUGCACUGAUCGAGAUCGUAAGUAUUUGUUCGAUCAGUUCAAUGCUUAUUAUGAGUAAAAGAGCAUUAAUAGACAGCUCACUAUUCCUAAUACUCCGCAAAAAAAAUUGUAUUGUAGAGUGAAGGAACCGUACUCUACUGUACAGGGUUAGGUCGAUGAUGGCGCAGGCUCAUCGACCCAUAAGUUUUUAGGGAGAUACUCUUUUGACUGCAGCUUACAUCCUUAAUUGAGUUCUUAAUAAAUUAAUGCCUUCUACCCUAUAUGAGUUAUGGAGUAGUAGAAAGCUGAGUUUUUACUACUUACGCUCUUGGGAUUCAGGUGGAUAUGUUAACAGCCCCUCACAUAGAUUUAGGAAACUCGGCCCUAGAGCAAACGAGUAUGUGCUAAUCAGGUAACCUAAAAACUUAAAAGGAUUAUGUGAUGUAUAGUGAACAACCAGAUGGUGGUGUGACCAAGAUAAAGUUUAGUGGUAUAGAUGUAAUGCUCCAAUAGUCCAACAUCGGAUGAAAAAAUAAUUCUGAUUAGAAUAUAUAAGGCCUACACGCUAGUAAUAAUAACUAGGCUUAAGCAUUUUGGGCUGGUGGUUUGGGCCCAACGAGUUAUUGUUGCUAGCGGGGUGGGUCAUUACAAUUGGUAUCAGAACCGAAUACCAGCCGGAAGUGUGAGAGUUAAGCGUUUUGCGGGAUAAAGUGCUACACUAACGGAUUUGGUGGGAGCCACCUCUUGAACCUAUAAGAGCGAUCUCUAGAAUCUCAUAUCACCUGGUAAUUCUGGUCUAUAUGUGUGUGAUGUGGUUUGGACCCGACGAGGAUAUUAGGGUCUAAAUAGGGAGAGUUUGUAAUACCCCAAUAGUCUCACAUCGGAUGAAAAACUAAUUAUGAUCAGAACAUAUGAGGCUUACACGCUAGUAAUAAUAACUAGGCUUAAGUAUUUUCGGCCAGUGGUUUGGACCCAACGAGUUAUUAUUGUUAGCGCGUCGGAUCUUUACAAUAGAAUUCCUAGAAAGGAAAUUUUCAAGCAUUGGUGAAAUGCAGAGAGAUGUUGGAUUGUAUAAGUUACAGGAUGACGCUACUAUAUCUGCUAUUGAGGGUGAUUGAUCACUUUUCGAAGUUGCAGACUGAAGUGUUAGCGAUCCCCCUGCUAGUUUGAGUGCUUCCAUAAGUGAGAGCAUACCCCGAAGCCGGUAAUUUGGGCCCUCAAUUGUGUAGAAGUGAACACGGACACAUUUUUCGUUGAUAUUUUGAGAUCGAAUGUGAUAUUUUUAUGUGCACUCCGCUCGAUGAUAAUGAUCCUGUUUCUUAUAAUGGAGCACUACAAAUGCUAGGUUGUAGUGAGUGGAUGGCUGCUAUGAGUGAUGAAAUGGACUCCAUGAGCAAUAACCAAGUAUGAGAGUUAGUUGACCUUCCACCUAGAUGCAAGUCUAUUGGAAAUAAAUGGAUUUUAAAAGCUAAGCGUAAGGCGGAUGAGUCAAUCGAUAAAUAUAAGACUCGACUCGUGGCCAAGGACUACACUCAAAGGGAAGAGAUAGAUUACAAUGAGACGUUUGUUCCCGUUGUGAGAUUUACCUAUAUACGUUUAAUUCUAGUCUUAAUAACACAUUUGGAUUUGGAAUUGUUCUAAAUGGAUGUCAAGAUAGAUUUCCCCAAUGAAGGAUUAGCGGAGGAAAUUUACAUGGAUCAACCUGAGGGUUUUGUACUCAAAGGUUAAGAAGAUAAGGUUUGUCGCUUUAGAAGAUUCAUUUAUGGUUUUAAGCAGUCGUCGAAGUAAUAGUAUUUAAUGUUUCAUAAAGCCAUCACCUCUAUAGAUAUGUCCAUGAUAGAGGAGAAUAUAUCAAGAAUAUGAAAAAGAGGAUUCUAUUCCUUUUCCUAUCCGUCAACGACAUAUUAUUGGCUGGAAAUAAUAUGAAGUUGAUUAAUACCACUAAGGAGUGGUUGAGAGAAAACUUUGAGAUGAAAGACAUCGAUGAGGCGAGCUAUAUGCUCGGAUGAAGGUCGUCAGAGAUUGUUCUACGAGACUUCUUGAUUUGUCUCAAGAAUAUUAUGCUAAAAAUAUUCUAGAGCGAUUUAGGAUGCAUCAUUGUAAACCAAUUGACACUCCAGCAGAGAAGGAUCACAUGUCGUGACCAAUGCCCUAAAACGGAUAAAGAAAAAGAGCAAAUGAGUAGGGUUCCUUAUGCAAGUGCAAUUGGCGGCUUGGUAUACGCUAUGAUAUGUAAUCGGCCUGACAUUUGCUUCAUUGUUGGUUUGGUAAGUCGUUACCAGAGCAACCCAAGAUCUAUUCAUUAGCGAGCGGUCAAGAGGAUCUUUCGAUAGUUAAAAGAGAACCAAUGACCUCGUUCUUUGCUUCUAAGCUGGAGACUUGAGAUUGAAAGGAUAUUGCGAUACUGAUUGGGCGAUGAUAAAGAUGAACACGGGUCCACUUCAAGCUAUAUAUAUAUUUAUGCUUAAAAAUGGAGCAAUUUUCUGGUGUAGUAAGAAGCAGAGCUAUAUUGCCUUGUCUACCAUGGAAGCGCAGUGCGUUGUUUGUUCAGCAAUCGUUCAAGAGGCUGUUUGGUUGAGGAGAUUUCUCGAGCGCCUUGACAUCAUGACUCGAGCAGAUGAGUCUGUUGAGAUGUUCUUUGACAGUAUGGCUAUCCUGAAGUAGGUGAAGGAUUCCAAGUAUCAUAGCAGGACAAAUCAUAUAGACAAGUUUUUACUAUAUUCAAAGACUAGAGGAGGUCACAUUUAGACAUAUCUCUACUACUAUGAUAGUGGCUGAUCUAUUGACCAAGCUGAUACCUGCGAAUAUGUUUCAGACCUAUAUUAGGAGUUUGGAUCUUCGCAAAUUAAUACUUUUGUAUUUUACGCUUUUUUAAUGAAAAUAUGUUUUUCUUUUUUAUAUAUUGCAUAAUUGAUACUAGUAGGCACAUGUUUCGUUAAGUCACCAAAGUCAGAUUAGCCCACUCAUACGAGUGAUCGUUUUGGCACCUAGGUGGUGAGCAGGAUGAGACUAGAUAACUCGUGUGAGUGGGAUAUUAUGAAGUGGAUGUCUGAUGCAACUAACUUAACGUGUAUCUCAGGGUUAUAAGAAAGUACGAUCUUGCGAAGCAUGUCUAGUAAAGUGCUUGGACCGAUAUAGAUUAGCGUGAGGGGCUGAGAUAGAUAUUUCGAUAACACACCAUGUAAGUCUUGUGACUCAUUGCUCGGGUUGUUAUCUCGGUUGCAUUACUUGAGAUAAUUAUGAGUACGAGAAAUUUAUCAUAGGGUCAUCAAGCCCUGUCAUUAGAGGAGAGGAAUUUGUGAUGCUUGAUUUGGUGUAUGUUAAAACGAAUAGGGCAUAGAGGGAUUUAGUUAGUGAUGUGUUAUAUUAGUUGGGUGAUAACUUAAUAUAGCACUCAUGCAUUGUGUUUCUUUUGUCAGGUUGCACGCUCCAUUACUAGUAUGAAGAGUAGAAUGUAUGAGAAAGGAUUGGCCAAUGUGGCCAAGUACGAGAUUGUUGCCAUGUGGUGUGUCUACGUUGGCCCGUUUAAAUUGAACCCGAUCAACAUAAUAUGUGGAUUGGAAUUUAUCCUAAUAAAUUAAGAAUAUGGAUAAAUUAUAUAUUUCUUAUUAGUUAAAAAAUAUAUCUCUUAGUGAAUAUCCUAACAGAUAUUCUAAUCCUAAUCUUUAUGUGAGAAUCAGGAUAUUUUAAGGGGUUCUAAUAAUCUAUUAAUAUGAUCCAUUUCUCCUGAAUUUUGUAUCUACGAGAAUCUACGGGAAUGCACGAGAUAAUUGACUUUCCUUCUUCUCUCUACAUUUUCUCUGGAAUUUCUACCUACGUUUCUGAAAUUUUAGAGUGUGGACAUAGAACAGAACUCUAGUAGCCCUCUUCAUAUCUGACAAUCUGCAGCAUAUAGGAAAAGGCGAGAAACGUAAGGCGAGAUACGUGAAAGGUCUAGAAGUAUCAAGAUAAGGACGAUCAAAGAAAGCUAGUAAAACAAGCUAACCUGAUCAGCUUUUGGCCUGGAUACAUUGGCUAUCCAGUUUGUAAGUUUCCGCUGCUCUCUUAUUCUAACAACUAGAAUAUUAUCAUUCUAUUCUUAAUCUGGUUUUUUAAUUUAAAUAGUUAUUCCAAGAACGCCGUAAUUUACAUAUAGUGCGUGCUUUUUUACCCAAAACAAAGAAGAAUCUUAAAAAAGCCCACCUAAGCCUUGUUUCAACUGUCAAUUAACUAGUUAUGUCUUUUGGCUUUAUACAAAUGUUGCAUACUGUGAAUUCACAAGUUGCUUCAAAUUCAGAACAAAAUGCUUUACUUAAUCUUAUAAUAAAACUCUACAAUUUAAUAAUUGGAUUUCAAUUUUGAAAUUAUAACUCGUGCUUAGUUCUUUAUGAUUUACACUUCUCUACCAAUUAAAUACCAUCACGUAUGCCAAUACAUAAGUAUUGUAAAAUUCAUUUGUAAACAUUACAUUACUCAAUCCACUGAUAACCAAAACCGAGGGAUGGGGCUGUUGAUGUAAGGGUUCACCGUAUUCGCGAAAGCAUGUAUUCGCAAAAGAGAGAAAGAAAGAAACAAACGAUACGCUUCAGGAAACCACCCUUCUGCCCCAGGUACAGAAGUGCUGCAAGAAAAAAGCAAUUCUAUUUCUGGAUUUAUAUACUCUGCCGUCUUUGUGACAUUUCCACUUUCACAUACAAUGGUUCAAUUCCUCAACACAUGAUGGAACCUUCGUGAGGAAACAUUCUAAUAUUAUUUCCUUGACAGCAAAAGUCACUUUUUUUCUGCAAGCUUCAUCAUGUAGCAUUUACAACACCUAAACAAAUCAGAGCAGAAUCAUUCACAACUCAAUCAUGUAGUAUUUACAACACAUAAACAAAUCGCACACGCAAUAACAGGCCACCCGAAGUGCGAGUAGAACUGUUCUGAGAAGCACAAUCAUUUCUUUCUUUUUCCCUAGAACUGCCAUAAUAAUUUCUCACUACGACAAAGCAGAAGUUCAGCGCUUCUGCUAUUUCGCACUCAUAAACUUAUUUCAGCUUUCUGCGACAGCAAAAAUCUCAAUUAUUUUUUGUUUAUAGUUAACUAGCUGUUGCUUUUCAAAGUAGAUAAGUUGGUUCGCCAAGAACAAGCAGGCACUAAAACGAAAUCAAUUUAUGCCUAAGAUUCAAAGAAAGCUAUCUUAACGAGACCAGAAAUGAUUGAAUGUUUUCGAUAUCCAAAGCGUGGUUUCAGUUUAAACACAAUUUGACAACUAAGAUGAGUUAAACCAGUUUCAAACUACCAGUGGUGGGCGCCCCCCUCACCUGGUUCUUUUCUAUUCACAAGCCAACUUGGUGUCGAAGCUGCUCAAACAAAUAGCAAAAGCCUGGAAUGCUGAGAGCGGGUAUCGGUAAUCCAUCGUGAACAUAUCCUUCGCGACCUUCCCGAACUGUAGAAUGACCUUAUCAUGGUCAGAAGAAGACGUCGCCGGCGGUGGGGGCACUGUGGCCGCCGCAGGCUGCUGAGUUGCGGCGAUGAGCUGAAAAUUCUUCACCGAUGCGACCGUUACCCGCCCUCGGAAGUUGAGGCACCAGCACUGCAGCUGCUCGUGCCACCGCGGCGGCUUGUUCUUGAGCACCAAGGGCUGGACUCCUUUUGCACCCUCCUCCUCGCCCCCAUCACGAGUUAGGGCUUCGCCGAUGAUGUCAGAGAACCGAGAGCUACUGAAGUCGAUCGAGCGGUCGGUGAUAGAGGAGGCAGUGCGGAAGGAAUCCUCCAACAGGCGGGGAAGGAGGCGGUCCGGCUGACUCGGGACGGAGCCGCCAGGCUCGAGGGCAGAGGCCGGGAUGGAGUGCAUAACACAGUGCAUUUUGCGGGGACCGCGGGUGCCGAGGACGUUCAGCUCAUAGGUCACCUGCGCAAUUGGGUACGUUCCCGUCGGGACUUUCGGGGACACUUUGGUGGAGAAUCGGCGGCUGGUUCGCCCGCUGGGUGGGCAGAGGGCGGCAGAGUUGGUGUAUGGAGGCUGGGUGUCAUAGAUUAUGAACUUGGUGCCGAGGAAAUUUGACCUGCAAAAAUGGGUGAACGAAUCUCAAACAUAAUUUGAUCACUCAAUCAAUAGGGAAAAUUGCAUUGUUGGUCCCCAAACUUAUUCAAGAGUUGUACUUUGGUCCCUGAUCUUUUGGAGCAGACAUGCGGUGCCCAGAUUUUCAAUUGUCGUCUCGAGUAAGUCAUUUCCAUCAUCUCCCAUUAAGUAAGCGACAUUGAAGCUGUGGUAACUACCACAUAUGCAUACCCCGAAGCCACAUAUGCACCCGAGGCGUUGACGUGGCUAGAAUAUAGGCAUAUCAUGAAGUCACCUAUGCACCAAAGGCCCAUACUCGAUUAGACAUAAUCUGAUGCAUCAGCUUAUGUGGCAUUCAUGGUAUGUGCUUUUGUUGUACGUGUGACCUCGAUAAACUUUGCUAUCACUUACAAAGAUUCGGAAAAAUUUGGAGUGUUGAGUGGCGACUUUAAAAGAUUGGGGACCAAAGUGAUGCUCUCCACCAAAAAAAAGUUCAGUGACCAAUAUAGCAACUUACCCAAUCAAUCCACCAAAAGAUCUCGUUUCCUUUAAAAUUGAAAUUUCCUUACCGUAGUUUUCCGAUAUACGUGCUGCUUGACUUUGAAAUAUUGUCCGCGUCCAUCGAAAUUAUGUAUUCCGUGCAGGUUGUCCGACGAUUCCUUUUAGCUGAUAGAAGGAACUUUCCACUCUCAACAAGCACGGCUGCUUCAUCAAAUUCGGUAACAAGUCGAUUUAGCAAAAUUUAAUGAAUAGAUCUACUAGCAACAAAGCUAAACUUCCAUUUAAAAGAAGUGGAUGCAGGAACCAACAUCUCAAAAGUGAAAACAUAUAAAAGGAAAAGCCCAAGGGCAAUAAUCCAUAAUAAUCCACUCAUAUUGUGUAAAGCAGGGACGAAAACAGUCGAAUAUGACCUGGUAUUUGACAAAAUUAUAUUCGCUUCCAUAUUUAAAGCAUGGAUAUGAUUCUUGGAUACAGAUAUUAAAUGGAUACUGGAUUUCAUAAUUAUAUUUGAUCAAAACAAAUUCGAAUACAAUUCGAAUUUGGGAUAAAUACAGAUAUGAAUCGAAUUUUCAUGCUUUCAAAUACCUGCAAUAAGAAAUUAUUAGGCAUUAGUUUAAAAAAAAAUAUUUUGGAUUUUAAAAUUUUUUAUUUAACAAGCUCUAUACAUGAUUAUCUUCCCUAUACAUUAAAAAUAAGCUGAUUGCUGGUAUUCGAAUCCAUAUCUGAAUCCAAAUCCUUAUGCGAAGAAAAAACUGAUUUCGAAAUAUUUUUUAUUGUUAUUGCUGAAUUCAAAUUCGAAUUCGAAUCCGACAGAACAGCCAAUUUUGGCAUCCAAAUAUAACUCUGACCGAAUUCAGUUUCGGAUUUGAUCACAUAAUAUCCUAACUAGCGAACAGGGUAUGCUGGAAAACUAGUAAAAGAAAACUGUGAUUUACAUCCAACGUCGAAGUUAACAGCUGGAAAGAAAACCAAACCUAUCUACUUAUCAACAAUAUUAACAAAUGACAUAUAGGAAGAAAAUUUCCAUGAUGGAAAAGGUAAAAAUCCAUAGAAGCAACAAUGGUCCCAUAUUUGAAGAAUCUGCAAAAAUUAUUAGAUUAAUAUGGACCACAUCCUAGCAGUAGUGCUUCCGCAUUGUAGACUUUGGUUAUAUAAGUGUUCCGUUAAAUUGCUAGUAAGAAUGGAUUAGUCAAACAUUACCAUAUGCAUGAGCAGGGUUAUUUCUAGCCGUUAAUCCAACAUACUUUGAACACAUAUUGUUUAAGCAGUCAAAUGUAUUAGUAUUAUAUUCCGCUAAUAAACAUCAAAUUAUCAAACCUGUGCCUAAAACUAGAAUGUGUACAGAAUUUUUCCUACCAAGUAGGAAGAUUCACUGUGCGAGAGCAUAUAAUAGAAAAGUAAUUAGUCCACAACUAACAUUCUUACCGCACGAAUUGGUGAUUCAAUGUAUGUGUUAUCAUCUCCAUUAUAAAAAAGAAACGAAAAGAAAAGAAAAGAAAAGCAUGUCAUCUUGAAGCCAAUAGGAAUUUGGCAAAAUUUUUGGUAAUGUUAAAUUCAGUAUACACGAAAAGGCACAGAAAAAAAUCAUGAAAGAUUGCAAAACCCAUUAGAGCCACUAAUUAUUUGAAACAACUUACCAGGGCUAAGACACAAGUAAAGGUGAUAAGUUAGCUUUGAUUUGUCCCUCUUUAUAAAACAUUGGAUCAUUCCAUCAUGAGGUCCGGGCUGUGGAGGAAAAGUAGUAGUUAGUAAGUAGUCUAAUUCAUCCAGAAGCAUUAAAUGAGCAAAAAAUUGCCUUAAUUUAUUAACAUUGUUAAAUACAGAAAAUCUACAAUGACAGCUUCAGUCGUGGGUGUUAAUUAAUACUUUUAUUAAGAAAGCAAAGGUCGCUAGGUUCCAAUUAAUACAAGCAAGAAUCAAUUAGUUCUAAAGGCUUAUACAUAUAUAUUUUUCCCUGUAAAAUCUAGGGGUUAGACAAGUAAUCAUUCUAGGAAGUUGGUUUUGUGAUUUUAAAAAGUGUUUUCUUUAUAGAGCAGCAAUACGAUAAUAAGGGUGUGCGCUUAUAUGAGAAACUAAGUUUCGGAAAUGGAUGCAUGAAAAUUUAGUUUUCACAGUAAUACAUAUCAAAUAGAUGAUUUCACAGGGUAUACAUCUAAAAACCUCUUACUUAAUUGAUGGAAAGAUCAAGGAGAAUAACCUGCUUCAGAGAUAAAGGAAAGGUGAGCUUCGCACAAAACUCUGGGCUCCUCACAAUCUCCUCACACAUCUCCCUCCAUGCUUUACAAACGCCCGCGCAAGCCACGACAUGCUUUCGUGCUGGCCAAACACUUUCACUUGCUUCCAAUCUCUUAAUCACAUCGCGAAGUAGCUCUGGAGGAAGGCUAGCCCAACGGCUUGUCUGAAUCACUUCAGGAGAAUCGUGCACUUCAUGCACAGCUCCAUGAGAUUUUCCCCUAUGAUGAUGAUGGUGCCCAGCUAGACUUAGACCCGGUAACCCAGAAAGCCUCACCUCAAAGCUCCGCCUUGAUAAACUCCCAAAACUGUCCCUAACAUCCCUAACUAUGCUUCGAAACGACAUCUAAACCAACAAAUGUAUAAUACUGCAGUAAGAGCCUUCAAAAUGUAGCACCCUAGAAAAAAAAAAACAAUCAGAACUCAUCCUUACUCUUUAGAAUGAACGAAAAGAGAGAAGAGAAAAACACUAUUAUUAGCACCAUCACCUCUUCUUUUCUUUUCUUCUUCUGGACUAAUAAUGUUCUAUUUGCAAAUAGAAACCCUCAUGCUUCCUUCAUAAGGAUUACAAUAAAUAUAUUCCUGAAAACAAGAAAUGGUAACGAGAUACUUAUAUAGAGGCAGAGAGGAAUAAUACUGUUUAACAAACUAUAAAUAGUUAUGAGAAAGUAGCGGCUGCCAGUGUUAUUUACAAAAACCAAUCAUCAAAAAGAAAAAAAAGGAGAAAAGGCAAAAAUGUACAGGCACAAACUACAACUAUGGUACAUUUUGAGUUAAUUUAUGUAUAUCUAACUUUUGACUAUUUGUGAUUUCACUGCAGUUCCGUCAUAUUUUACAAUGAAAAAUUUUGCAAUCUAACGAGAUUUUCUUAAACUGCCUGUUGGAAGCCAUUGAAGGGUUUAGAACCUGCUGAAGAAGUAGUGGAAUGAAAAAAAAUAAUGAAAGGCUAGGUACUGAGAUAAAAAAUAUAUAUAUAUUAUACAUUUUAGCUCCCCAUUUCAAAAAUGCGCUAAUAGUUCGCGUAAUCUCACAUUUUACAUUAAAAAAAAAAUGGUGAACUUGGAAAGGAGAGACAAAAGCAAAAUAGUUGCGAUUAACCACGGAUAGCUAGUGCCAGUUGGCAAUGCUUCAACCACUUGCCAUGUAUGAUAUAAGCAUAGGCUAUCGAAAAAUACCAAUUUUGCACAAAAUAUAUUUUAAUCAAAAAUUUUGUAAAGAAAAAUAGUUUAUGAAUCAGUAUGCUAUGGUUAACUCCAUUUUCUUCAUACCUUUUAAAGAAAUUAUCAUGUCCUAGUUUGCGGAGAAAGCUACAGUGCAAUACAUAGUCUAAGCUCCAAAGCAAAUUGAUGUGAAAAAUUAAAUUUUGAUAUUAUUUUCAAGUCCAUUAUUAAGUAAGCGAGCCCAAAAUGCUUAAUUCUAGAUAUUAUUACUAGGGUAGACUUGCCCAGACGUCCUCGUCAGCCCUAAACACACAGCCCAAGAUCACGAGGUGAUGUGAGACUUAUCUUGCUAACCUUUGUCUGUCAUUCCGAUCCUGACUCAGUCAAAACUCAUCUUAUACUUUCGGCACAUCUCACAUUUUCGGCUGGUGAACUGGCUCUGAUACCAAAUGUAACGACUCGACCUGCUACCAAUAAUAACUCGUUAGGCCAAAACCACCAGCCCAAAAUGUUUAAGCCCUAUUAUUAUUACUAGGAUGGAUUUCUCUUAUAAAUCUAAUGAGCUACUUUUACAUAGGAAGCGCUUCUUAAAUUAAGAGAAAAGAAAGGAGCUACUUUUACAUGAAAUUACUUCGAAAAAUGAGCUACAAUUAAGUUAAUUUGUAGCACAAACAGGAAAAAGCAUCAAAUCAAAAAAUUACCAAGCGAUCUAAGACCAAGUUUUCAACUUUUUGGGGGAAUACAACAAAGUGGAGCCCUAAUUUUACAUAUUUAACACAUGGUCUAAAAACAAUACACAAAUUAAAAACACGAAUUUACCAAAACUGUAGCUGGAGCAAAAGAUCCGACCAAUUUAGCUCAAAAGACUCACAAAUUCCUCCAAAUUAGGCCGCAUUAAGACAAAAUUAACCGCUGAAUCCGCGAUCUAACCUCGAAUCGACUCGAAAUCGACAGGAGAAACGCAGCGAAUCCCCCCAAAUUCGCUCUCGAGGCGAUCUAACCUCGAGUCCACGCCCCAAAUUGGGGGCAGGUGCCGAAACUUCGCAAAAGAGACCUCAAAUUUCCCGGAAUUUUUAAACUUAGCCUUCGAUCGAUCGCUCCACGCAAGGAAUCGGUCGUCCAAAAACACAAACUCCUCUCACCCUCUUCACAAACCAUCUCUCUCUCUCUCUCUCUCUCUCUCUAAGUGGAUCUCAAGAGCUUCGUGAAACGGAGUUGAACGAUGGGUGAGGAGAAAGAAGAAAUGAGAGAGAGAGAGGAAAAGCUCAGUUUUUGUUCAUGGGUAAAAUGUAUGCAUAAUCCCUGUAGUUUCUUUUAUUCGCAACUUACUCUAUUUACUUUGGCUUAAUUACACUCUCCAUUGCACUGCUUUUUUUUUAAAAAAAAUACUAUUAUAUUAUUAUAUUUUAUCAAUUUCCAUACUACAUUUUAGAUUUUUUUUAUUUUUCAACCUUACACUAUUUUAUUUUCUUAUAGAUAUCACAAAACAUUUUUUUCCCUACUAAUCUCUAUAUUACUAUUAAUAAAUCUAAUUUUUAACAAAUCUGAUAAUUUUAUUAAGAGUCAUUAGUUAAAUAGUAAAAAAUAUAUAAAAUGAAUCCCGAUGAUAGUCUAAUUGAAAACUUCUAUCAAGUUACUUUCAAUCAUUUUUUGUUGUUUUUAUGUAUUCUUAUUAUUUUUAUUCAGAAUGAGCUGAAUAUAUGCUAUACUACCUUUAACUAGUAUUUAUUAAUAAUUUUUAUAUAAAAUAUUAUAAGUUUACUGCUUAUAGUAUAGUGAUUGAAGAGAAAAAAAAUAGUUUAAUGGUGUCUUUGAAAAGAAAAUAGGAAAGUGUAAUUAAGCCAUUUAUUUUUUACUUAAACACUUUGUGUGCUGCAUGUUUCAUUAUAAAUGUACAUGUGGAUCUCGACAUGGGUGCAGGUGAAAGGUGAAGUCGCGAGUUUUGACAGUACUAAAGCUUGUAAAUGUAACAAUCCGACCCACUAGCAACAAUAACUCGUUGAGUCCAAACCACCGACUCAAAUUACUUAAACUCGGCUAUUAUUAUUAGCGUGUAGGGCACCGAAUGUGGGAUUAUUAGGGCAUUACAGUAAAUUGUCUUAUAACUCGUACAGAGGCAUCACCCUUCGACUUUGCAGCGCCGUCAAAUAUGCAAUAUCUGGAAGUAGCAAGAGUUCAUUGAACUACUCGAGUUUGGAUUCUGAUUUUCACCACUUAAAAUGUUUUUAACCGUUAGAAUUUUACAAUAUAUGACUAUUGUGGGGGAUUGAACAUAUUAUUUGAUUCUUUUUUUUUUUUUACUUUUGAGCGGCACAAUAAUUAUCGGUGAGAAGCGUCGGAAAUAUGUACAAAUUAAAAAUUAUAAUUGUUAGGAUCUACAACAGAUUAUAAAUAAAAUUUUCAAAUCACAAUCACAAAAAAAAUUCCCUAUAAUAGGUAAGUUUCAGUGAACUAAUUAUUCUAAACAUCCAAAAAAACCUAAAAUUAAAAAAAAAAAAAAUUGUAACAGUCAUACCACAAAAGGAUGUAAUUCAAACUAAUAUUAUUAUGCCAUGUCAAAUACUGAAGGAUAUAACUAAAAAUAAUAUAAUAAUUUUCUAUUAAAAUGUUAUACAAAAAUAAUAAUUAUAGUUGUAUAUGUGUGCAGCAUAAAAAUUAUUGAUUUUUUAUAUUAUUAUUCCUGAGAAGUUAAAAAAGUAUGGACUGACUUGCAAACUUUGAACAGUACAGGGACUAUUUAUACAUUUUAACCUUAUUUUAUCCGGUCCGAUUCAUAGUGGGCAGAGUAGCGAGCUGAGAGUUGACCGUCCGUUCCGUUUAAUCUAACGGCGGUCUCGGACUUUGACGGCGUUACUGUUCGCGCACGCGGAAGAAGUGGGACCCGGACACCAACAUUUUGCCUGCACCGGGUGCACCAUUACACUCGUGCACCCUGGUUUUUUUUAAUAGGCUUUUAUGGUUGGUUCAUUGUACUUUUCACCGGUUUAGUAAUUAUAAAUUUAUUAAAAUAAAUAACUAAUUUAAAAUUUGAUAAUAAAAUAUUAUUGAUUGAUUCAAAUCAAAUAAAUUAAAAAAAUUAAAUAAUAAAAUUAAAAUUUUAAAAAAUAGAUAAUUAAUUUAAAAUAAUCAAUAGUUUAAAUAAAUUUUUUACAUUUUUAUCUAUAAUAAAUCAGUUGUCAUAUAUUUCGCGAUUUUUAAUGUCGUCCUUUGUGCCUAGGAACAUUAUGCACAUGCUAUCAAUCUCAUUCGUUUUUUUUCAAUAAACUAACAAAAAUAAUAUAAAAUAAUUAAAUUUCAGAUAUUAAUAAUCAAUUUUUUUAUCAAUUACGUAAGAAAGGGAUGCUGAUUUUUUCUCCUAUAUUAAAAAAAGAAUUAAUUCCAUACAGCUCUCUGUAAAAUUAGUAAGUAGCGAAUAUGUUCUUAAAAGAUUUAACUUUUAUAUAUUUUUUCUGCAAAAGUCUCGAUAUUUUCAAAUAUGUCACUGUCAUUAGAAUUCAUUUAGAAAAAUUUAAUUAAUCACAGAUUAAACAAUUAACCUUAAUUAAUUUUUGAUAUUUGUAUCCCUCUUAUAUUAUCUUGUUAUAAUUUUUAGAAAAUCAUAUUUAUGAUGACAAAAUUAAAAAGUAUAAAUAGUUUUUUAACAAUAACAAAUCAUACGGAUAUAUUUGAAAAUAUUAAAAUUUUUAUAGAAAUAAUAUAUAAAAAUUAAAUUUUAUAAAAAUAUAUAUUUAUUAUUUACUAUACUUAUAAAGUCGGUAUGAAAUUAAUUCUAAAAAAAUAAGGAAGGACGAAAACUUGCACACCAAUCACUAUCAUGAGUGGCCCCGCCCUCAAACAGUGCCACCUGUCAAAUUUAAAUUUCUAUUAAUAUUUUGUGAAAUUUAAUUUCUUGUUCGCAAAGCGUAUGAUGUUCGCAGCAGUUGAAAAAUGAAGCGGUUGGGGCUUCCAUAUAAAUAUUUUCUCAAUUAUAUUUAAAUAGAAAUAAAUAAAAUUUAUCUGAAUUAUAAAUUAUUUUAAGUCAAUUAUUCAAUCUUUUCAAUUUUUGAUUUUUAAUGCCCAAUCUUUCGCAUUGUUUAUUUGAUCUAAAUAAUUUGAUAAUUUUUUUAAAUACAAAAUUUAAAUUAAUUAUUUAAUUUAUUAAAUUUAUAACUAUAUAAAGUAUAUAAAAUAUACUAGCUAAAUUCAUAAGCAUAAACGACACAUUUUUAUCUUAUAUUUAUUGGAGAUCUAAUUCGUUUUUUUUUUUUUUUAAAGAUUAGGUAGGUAAAUCUAAAUAGAUGAAAGUUGAGAUAAAUUUAAACAUUUUUACUUUAUAUUUAUUUGAGAGAGAAAUGUAAAAUGCUACUGUUUCAUUCAUUCUUUUUAAAAAAUAAAAUUAGCUAACAAUGUAAAACAGUAAAGCUUCAAAUUUGGAACCUCGGGGUACCAAUCGUGAAGCCCUUGGUCACCUGCGCAAGAGAAGGCCAAUGCAAUUAGAAAUGUUGGUGCUGAAAAUAUUAGAUUUUGAUAAGAUGAAAGAAUUUCAAUUGUGUUUUGAUCAAAUUUCAAUAUAAAUUUGCUAAAAGAGAGUAAUGCUACUGGUAUACCCGAAAGUAGGGGUGUCAACGAGCCGAACACGAGCAAGCUGGGGCCUUCACUCGAUAUCUUAAAAAACUAGCUUGUAUUCGGCUCGUUUAUUAAACGAGUCAAACACGAGCUGGUUCGUUAAAGUAUCUGAGUCGAAAAAUUCAGCUCGUGUUCAGCUCGUUAAUAAAUAAGCCGAACACAAGCUAGCUCACGAGCUAGCUAACGAAUAAUAAGUUAAAUAAAUUGCAUUGGAUAUAUAUAAAAAAUAAAUUUAUAAAAUUUUACCCAUUAAGCUUUGAUCUAUGAUUGAAAUUUUACAUAUAAAUGAGUCUUUUUAUAAUUGAGCUUGGAUUAUUUUUUGCUAAAAAUCAAAANGACUUUUCGCCUUUUUUUUUUCUUUUUUUUUUUUUUUCUUUUUUUUCUGUGGAGACGUAUCGCAGCGGAUUUUCGUUUUAAAAUCCUUUUUGAAGUUUUUGGGGGGACACCAAAGUACGUAAGGGUGAAAGUAUGGGACACCAAAUUUUGCAUAGUUAAACGGGGGGGCACCAAAGUAAAAAGAGAAAACAAUAGUUAAAAUAAUAAAAAAAAAAGAAUUUAGUCACUGUUUUAAUUUUAAUUUCCUAUGAUUUCACUUAUAAGCUAUUUAUAUCUACCAAUAGACUUCAAAAAACAUAUAUUAAAUUGCUUUAUAAUUGCUUUUUCGAAGACUUUUCUAUUUUUGCUUUGGUGUCCCCCCGUUUAACUAUGUAAAAUUUGGUGUCCCAUGAUUUCACUCUUACGUACUUUGGUGUCCCCCCCAAAAACUUCAAAAGGGUUUUAAAAUACAUAUGUGAGAUUUUUCCUC
This 46343-nucleotide long non-coding RNA is filed under the name Ananas comosus (pineapple). RNAcentral describes it as "long non-coding RNA (ACOM_LNC008648)". Lineage: Eukaryota; Viridiplantae; Streptophyta; Magnoliopsida; Poales; Bromeliaceae. The record is from RNAcentral.